RNAcentral lists this long non-coding RNA (81717 nucleotides) under Glycine max (soybean). RNAcentral describes it as "long non-coding RNA (GMAX_LNC000734)". The record is from RNAcentral. Lineage: Eukaryota; Viridiplantae; Streptophyta; Magnoliopsida; Fabales; Fabaceae.
UUUGGUGGUCGGUUGGUGCUUUCUUUGACAUUCAUUAUUACCUAUUAUUAGUAUAAUAAUGUUUUCAAGACUCUCCCAAUACACACAGUGCAUUGUUAACUAACCCCAUCUUUAAGUUGGAUCAAUAGCAACUACUUUGACCCCUUGCCCCUAUAAGUACCUUCUGUCUGUAUUAUUGAUUAUAAGUCCUAACUACAAGAUCCUUUCUCUCUUUUUUUAAGUGUGGUGUAAACAAAAAAGAAAAAAAGAUGAGUUGCUUUCAAGUGUGGAUUGGGUUUCUCUUGGCUUUGUCACUCUUGAAUUCAUGUGCUCUUGUCUACUCCUACCCCACCCCAAAUUCUCCUUCACACCCUCCUCACCAUGGUGCACACAAGCCAGGGUGCUACCAGCAUACUCCUCCAACACAUAGGCAUCGUAAGAUUCCACCACCACCAUCAUUGCCGUUCUUGUCGCCGCUACCACCUGGAGCAUUUUAUUUCUUCUCUCCACCCCCUCCUAGUCCUACCCAUUAUCCAAAAACGCCAAGGCCGGUGGGCCUGGGCCCACCCCCACCAAGGUUCCGGGUACUUUGAUUUGGCAUAAAUAACAUAUACAUAUAUCACUGAGAGCUUCAUCGGGCCUAGGCGGAAAAAGCUUGUUGUUACAGUGCUUCGGGUUAAUUAUAUAUCUUGUACUCUAGUCUUUUUUUUUCUCUUCCGAUUUGUUAGAGUAAACUGUAACAGUAGCUGUUCUCGUAACGUCUGGUAUAUUGUUAAUCUGGAAGUGUCUGAACGUGUUCAUUUGAGGUGAACAGGUUUGCCAUUUUACAAGUUUUUAAAUUCUACACUGAAUCUAAAUGUUGGUCUUUCAGAGUUAUAUGCUUGUCAUCACAGUAUUGUUUUAGAAGUUCUUGAAACGUAUGCUGGAAUUUCAGUCAUUUAAGGAGUUAGAUAUAUAAGAUUCUAAAAAUAUUAAUAUGAUAACGUCUUAACUCUUUAAGUGACGACUAACUUGAUAGUUAAAAGUUUAAGAAAAACAACUCGAUGAUAAUAAUUUUAGGAUUUAAAUAUGUUUUUGUUAAUGUAAUUGAUAUUUUUUCAUUUUGAUUCUUGUAAAUUCGCCCUUUUAAUUUUAGUUCGGGUAAUUUUUUGUUUUACAACUUGGAUUUUUAUAGGGUAUUUUUCUCAUUUUUAGUUCUAAUAAGUUUAUAUUUUUUUAAUUUUGUUCUUAUAUACACAAAUUUAUGGAAGAUUAUAAAUGAAAAAAUUAAAAUUUUAAAAGGACUAAAACACAAACGUGGAGGACUCAAAAUGAACAAAAAAAAUUAUAGAGACCAAAAUUAAAAAUAAUAAAUUUACAUAUACUAGAAUUAAACAAAAUAAACUUACAUGAAUAAGAAUAAAAUAGAGUAUUAAUUUACCUGAACGAUAAAUAUAUUUAAUUGUAAUUUUAGAAAAUGUCAUGAGAGUUUAUUCCGAGUUCUUUUGAAUAAUAUUAUAUAUUUUUGCAGCAAUUUUUGUAAUAAAGACAGAAAUAGGAAAAGAAUAAAGAAAAAUGUGAAAUGAAAUAAUUAGUUAUAUGACGUAGAAAAAAAUGGUGUGGAAAAGUGAAAUAAAAAUAACAUUAUUCAAUUUAAUUGUUUUUAUUAAAGUAUUUCUAACAGUGCAAUCGUGGUAAAUCACUUUUGCAUAGGCCGUACAAUGCCAUAUAAGAACUUCUAUAAUAAGUUAUAUCUAAUAAUGUACUCCUUAAAACCUUAAAUAUAGAUUAUACGAUUGACUAAAAAUUCUUAGCAACAGUUAAGAACCAUUGAUUUUUCCAUCUAAAAAAAAACAUUGCUUUUAUGAGUAACAGUUCUUCUUAUAAGAAUUGUCACAUUAAUUGCUCCAAUAGUGAAACCACAUAUUAACUUAUUCUCAAGUUUAAGAAUCUUAUAAGCAACUCUUGUUAAAAAUGUUCUUUAAAGUUUUUUAGAUGAUGAAGUUCUCUAACUUUUUUACAUCAUUUAAAUUGCUUGAGAUUCAGACUUAAAAAAACUAUUGAAAUAUAAAUAAAAACAAACAUUUUAAAAUUUUAAUCAAAAUAUAUAGUUUAAAUGCAAAAAUAUAAUUAACACGUAGAUGCAAUAAAUAGACGAUAACAAAUAUAAGAUAUAGUUCGUGCUAUUUUUUUCACAAUAAGAAUAAUAGAAAUGACUAUUAACUAUUAUUUUGUUACUCCAAAACUGUAAAACAGUAAAACAUGCAAAAGAACAUAAAAAAUAAAAUAAAAUGAAACAUUUCUAAAACGUACACUUCGUCAAUUACAGUACAACAUGGAACACUAUUAAAUGUCUGUUUGUAAUAAAUAACGUGAUUUAUAGAUUUGAAAAAACUAAUGAUUUUAAUAAUUUGAUUUGUUGUUUUAUAAUUUUACUUUUCUCCUCUAAAAUACUAAAAAUUUAUCGAGUAACCAACUCUAAGAUUACUUAAUAGGAUAGUAUUAUAUAUAUGUCUUAUAGUUGCCUUUUCAAACUUAGCACUAUAGACUUUACAAUACAUUAUCUGUGAAAUAAACUUAUCGAAUUCGUGUACAUUUCUUAAGUUGAAAUAAAUUCAAAAAUAAAGAAAAACAGCUUCGAAACCGUGCAUUAUAAAGAGGGAAAAUUGCUUCGAAUAAUUGAUAAUGUAUCCAGGAGAGCCCAGUAGAUUUGUUACUUUUUGUAGUGUCACGUUGGCCCAAUAUGUAGUAAACUUCAUUUUGUUUGACUGUCAAAAUUCCAUGGACCAUAUAUUAUUGAGUUCAAUUUAAAAGGACUUUUUAGUAUCAUCUUCACACACAGACAUAUAUAUAUAUAUAUAUAUAUAUAUAUAUAUAUAUAUAUAUAUAUAUAUAUAUAUAUAUAUAUAUAUAUAUAUAUAUAUAUAUAUAUAUAUAUGUAUAAAUAAAAGAUGAUGGAGUGAUAUGCUAAAUUCCUAUUAAAUGACUGAAAAAAAAUUUAUGGUGACAAUGCAUAAUUGCAUAUAAAUUAAAUUUUAUAUUAUUUUCUGCUAAAUUGAAAUUCAAGAUGGGCUAAGCUCAAAAAGUAAGCAAGGUACUAAAUGUCAUCCCUAUAAGUUUUUUUGUCGUUCUUUGUUGGGCAUAUGAAUUAACAGAAAAAUAGAUAUCAAUUGGACCCAAUAAGACUACUUGUUGCUGUUCGUUCUUCAAUGAUGGGCAAACACCCUGGACCUUGGCCAUUCUACUUAGAUAUUGGCUAUUAUACCUUGGACCCUCUCUCCGAAAAGAAGGAAAAGCUUCUACCAGAAACUACUAAUUUUGUAAAUAAAAAAAAACAGUAUUUUUAUAUUUUUCAAUCAAAAUUAAUUUUUUAUAGCGCUAAAAAACUGAAAAAUUUAUUUUGCAGGACAUGGUUGAACUCACAACUAUUUCAACUAAAUAUUUUUCUUUUUAUAUUUUAAGACAUUAAAUGUAUUUAUUGAAAGUAUUAAGAGAAUUAGUGUAAAAAUAUAAUGAGGUAUUUUUAUUGGGCUGAGGGGUAGUAAAUUUAAGGUAAUUUUUAAUGCAAACGAAUAUCACUCAAUUUUUUGGGCAAAGGGUAUAGUCUGUUUGCCUUUCUGUUAUUUUGGCCAGCACUUGAGCAAUUAGAAAUUAGAAGUUUAGAACCAUCUCAAGUCAUUGACUAAAUGUGCUUGGGGUCCUCAGAAGAAAGACCAAUAAUCAUUCCACUUGAUUCAAGGUUGCUGUUAGCACAACUGAUAUGUAUAUAUAAUGAAAAAAUCGGGUGGGGGAAUCAAACGCUUGAAUAUAUUAUGACAUAAAUAAACAAUUAUACCAUCAUACACCCCUAACUGCCCUAAGACAAUUCAAGCAGUACUAAAUUUCUUAAAAUACUGGUUUGGAAAAUCAAAUCCUAAUCAGGUCACCAACUUGUACCCGGCCUCCAUUUUUUAAUUUUAUACCAGGAACUUUAACAUCUAAGACAUCAGGGCUAUGAAAUCUUAAGUAUUGCUCGUUUUCAAAGGAAAUGAUUCGUUCACCUAUUUCAUUUGAGAAUCCUAAAUUAUAUAUAUUUGGGUUUGGUGAUCACAUCAACGGACAACCAUGUCUCUUUUCUUUUUUCUUUUUUUUUAAAUGUUUUUUAUUUAAUUGUAAUUAUAUUUUCAAUGAUUUUUUUUAUUCAUAAUAAUAAGUUCUAAUAAAUGAAAUUUUAAAAAUAAUCUUAUUUUUAUUUCAGAUUAAAAAAAUUAAAUGAUGUUAACUAAUUUGAUCAAUGAGUGUAAAAUUUAUUAUUUUUAUUUAUAUAUAAAUUUAGAGGAAAUAUUUACUUGAGCGCAUCUUGUUCGUAAAUCGUGUUUUGAAUUUCAUCACCAUAUCUACGUAUAUAACAUGCAUUAGUCAUGCUCUCAUGUGCAUUGAAAAAGACAGUGGUGUAGCUUAAUUAGUGUCUAAUUUAAUAAAUAGAUCAAAAUGGUGAGAACUCAUGCACCUCAGUAUAUGAUAUCUUCCAGACACUAACUUAUAAAGACUCUAUUUGCAUUGUCUCCCCCUCGAGCCCUCGGGCCCUCGGGCCCUCGGGCCCUCCGCCACGUGCCCUAGCACCCAAAGGCCAAAAGACAACAUCGGGUAAAACAAUACUUCCCUUCGCUGCAACGCCUAUAAUUUUGAAAAGUUUCGAUGAUCAUAGGUCGUCGAGCAUUCAAUUUGAUUCACACAUGUCAUAAAUUCUUUCAAUUUCAUUAAUUUGGACCACAAAUAAGUCUUAUAUGUGAUGGAUAAUCAGCUUUGUUUUUUUCUCUUUUUUAACUACCUCACAUCUGAAGUAACUUCUAGCUAGGUUAUAUAUAAGCAAUAAGUAUAUCAGUAUAAUGAAAUAAACUUAUUUAUUAAAUAUUUGAAGUUGAUCUAACAAACUUAUACACUAGCUAGUAAAAUAAGCUGAAAAUUGACUUAUUUAACAUGUCAAACAAACUUACAAACACUAAUAACUUCGAGAUGUCAUUACUAUUUUAUCAAGUAAAUAUAUAAGAGAAAUAAAAGACAAAAGUUAAAAAAUUACAAAUAAUUUUAAUAUAGAUAAGAAGAUUAAUUACUUUUUAAGUGCAUCAUAAACUACAAAUUAAAAAAACAAAAACAAAGCAAGCUUAUUAGUCAAAUAUGAUAAGGAAUGCUAUAAACUGUUAAUGGAACAAAACGAAUUUAAUAUAUAUAAUUAAUUAUGACCUCUCUCUGUACAGUAAAUUAAAAGAGUAAACUUUCAGUAACAUCAAUUAACGUUUUCUUAAGACGAGAGCUAAAGAUAGAUCAUAUGUAGGGAAGGUUCUAAUUGCAACAGCUUUGAAUUUUGCAAACAUUUCGUGCUUCCAAAAGCCAUACGCAGUACGCAGGCAACACUUGCAUUGAAGAUAGCAACAACUGAUAACUACUAAUAAAAAUGUUUGAUGCCGAGCAUAAUUGAAUUCCUUCCUUGUUCUGUUAAAUGAUUGAAUAAACUCCAUUAAAAUAAGUUCUGAUGUUUAUGUGAACUGCGUUCUACGCCAGCUAACGUAUAAUUGAAUAAGUUAUAUUAUUUUUAUACGUACUUUUAACAAUAUAUUGUUAUAAUUAUUUAUUUAUUUAUUUAUCGCAUCACGUAUUUUAUUAUAUAUUUUUCUUAAAUAACUGUUCAAAAAUAUUGUAGCAGAUUUUUUCUUUGGUGGGUAUAGAAUAGAUUUUUUUCCUAAUCAAAUGUGUUUAUGAGAAACUAAUAACUUUCAUAUUUUUAACAAAACUAAUGUGAUUUCUCUCUUUACAACGGAAUUCCAAACAUGUAUUGAGUGUAAAAAUCUUACACUGCUGAUUCACUGAAUGCAUGAAAAAUAUAUAUUUUUAUACAGUCUAACAAUACAUGAGAGAUAAUCUCAUAAAAAUUGCAUUGCCUAUACAUAAACAGGCACGUGAAUAUUAUAUGUGGCUAAAAAUAUGCAGAGGAGUUAUGAUUAGGCAUUUUUUUGUUGUUGAUAAAGUUAUGAUUACACAUUCCCCACUAGGCACCAGCAUUUCAUAAUUUUAGACAUUCUCCAUGUGGCAGGGCCUUGGGCUUGACUAACCUGAGCCUUGUGCCAGUCCCACCCGUUCGUCUUUUUCUCAUAAUGAAAAUGAAAUUAAGCAUUUCUGUACCCAAAUUCCAAAUAUAUCUAUACACCAAAAACUAAGUUGGAUCGCUGUCUAGCAAUAUGCAUUUUAGAUGAAAUUGCCAUUCAGCUGAGUACAAGUAGCUAUCAUCAACUUGUUCAACUUUUUUUUUAUCUAGUGAGUAUGACUUUAUUUGAACGCAGUUGUUAGCUUUGCCUCGUGCGUCAUCCCAUGUGCUAAAUUCGCCUUUUAAAUUUCACUGCUUAAAAUAGAAUGGUAUUUCUUCGAUACGUUCUAUUAAUAUAAUAAAAUUAUACAUUUUUUUACAAAAAAUAAAUACUAACAACUAAUACAUUUUUUAAUGUACCCUUUUUAAUACAUUUUCUACUAUUAACUGAAAUUUAUUAGAAACACAAUUUUUUAUGAGUUUCAUUUCUUAUUUACUGAUUUUCACUAAAGAUUUUUAUAGUUUUAAAUUUUUAUUAUUAAAUUUUGAUUAAUAAUAAAAAGUGUAUUAGAAAGAAUAUACUUGAAAAUGUGUUGCUGAUCCUCCUUACAAAAAAAAAAUAAUGAGAUGUGAUAAAUGAUACAAUGAAAAAAAAAAGUUAAAGUUAAAAAAUAAAAUAUUAAAUUGGUUGUUGUAUAUAUUUUUGUUAUAUGAAUAUGAUAUCCUCCCUCUAUUAUAGCUGGAAGCGGCCCACAAAACAAAAGAAAGUUUGGGUCAAUCAAAUGAAAGCUUCUGAUAUAUAUAAAAUAAAAACAAACCUCCUUUAGAUGAAAGCACGCAAGUCCAAUAGGGAUAGUGUUGUUUGUUGAAAAUACACAAACUCCAAGAGUUGGUGCCUUGUUGGUAGGCAACCUAAUUGUUUAAUUAUAUAUGCAGGUCAAUGAAUUGAGCAAUAGUUUGAACUCGAAGUUGAGAUUCUUUUAACAUCAUGAUGAGGAUUUUAUGCUACCAAAGAAGCGAAACUUAUUUAUCUCUGCACUGAAGGAUUAGUUCAACCUUUUAAGAAAUUUGGUGCACACCAACAAAAUAUUGAAUAGCAAGAAAAAAACCGAGAGAGACAGACUGGUGUGUGGGACAAUAAUUGAUAAUGCUGAGUACUCUCAAGUCUCAAUUAUCAUCCAGAAGCCAAAAAGUAGUAUCUCUUUUAUCGCAUGAAAGGACUCCUAAACUCAUAUAUGCUAUGCCUUUGAGGUCCACCUUCCAUAUUAUAAUUGACAUCCCAAACGAAAUACUGAUUGUGAUACUAGGAUUUUGUGGCCUAAUUAACUUUUUCUCUUCUCUAAAGAGGAGACAAUAAUUUAUUGUUAAAAUAUGGUGGAGCGAGUUUGAACGGCUAAGAGUAUUUUGUAAGUUUUUUAUUCCUUAUCUACGAAUUGGAUUGCUUGCUGCCUAAACCUCUCUUUUUAGGGAUAGUUUUACUGUUUCUUGAUUUCGAAUUGUUCAUGACAAAUAGUUUAAUGAACUAAAGUUGUGGAAUGAGGGGUUUGACCAACUACCAUCAUCCCAUAUGUUGUAUGCAAGGAAAACUGCAGAAAUUUGAAAACAACGCCCGAUAAAAUAUUGUAGAUGCCCUGGUCAAACUAUCAAGUACUUUGUCUUAGAAAAGAUCGUAAAUAAAAAUUAUAUAUAUGAUUUCUCUUUGAAUUGAAGCGUAUAAUGAUUUUAAAAUAUUUUUUAUUCUUAAAAUUUUAAAAUGUGAUUUUUUCAAUUUAAUUUUUAUAAAAAUAUUCAUUUUUAAUCUCUAAAAAUUAAAAAUUGUUGUUUUUAGUCUCAAGUUUAGAAUUUUAAUUAUGUCAUUUUUGUUAUAUAUAAAAAUUAAAACUAAAUAUUCUUUUUUAGGAACUAAACUAAAAAAAAAACAUCAUAUUUUCAAAGACCAAAAAUAUACUUAAACAGUUAAACUUAUAUGAGUGUGUAAAGAUUCUGGGUAUUAGUAAAAUGGCAUUUUCAUGCUCUUAGAGAAGGAAAACCUAUUUACACAUAUAUAACUUUAAAAAGUUUCGCAGCAAACUGACAGCCUGACAAUUAGAAAAGGGAAGGGAAAAAGACAUAUACAUUUUUUUUUUCCAUUCACGAUAUUUCUUAAUGUAUAGUGCAAAACUUAGGUAAUAUAUGUAGUACUAUAGUUAGUUGUUAUGGUUUUAAAAUAAUUAAUAUUUUACCUCAAUAAAUGUUAUUCCCGUUUUGCUACUAAAAUCAUUAGUAAUUAUCAUAUUUUUUUGACAGAAAUUAUUAAAUUUGUUUAAUCUUUUAUAAAAGAUAAUCAUGAGUCCGAAAAAAUCUUUAAAUAUUUAAUAUAAGUGUAUAUCUAGAAUUUGAGCUUAACACAACCGAUUAAAUUAAACUAAUCUCACAUCAAUAAUUAUCAUUACUAUAAUGAAGUAUUAAUUUUGAUUGGAAAGUAAUAUUAAUAAUAUUUUAUUUAAGUUUUGUCCUUAUGUAUAUUGCAUUUGGACUGUCAUCAUAUGCUUGUUUGUUACAAUGUCAAGUACGAGGAAAGUCUAGCAUGUUAGAUUCAAAUAAAUAAAUUAAGCAAUAUGUAAGUGAUAAAAAAUUAUACUCUUCAAUCUUUAAGAUUGUGGGUCAAAUGUGAGGUACAAUUGGUUUUGGUAGUUCUCACUUGAUCCAUUCAUACAGAUCUUUUCGAUGUACAUUACUUUAUUACAAAUAAAAAAAUCAAAUUGAGCUUAAAGAAUAUAUUAUCAUUACAAAUUGGAAAUAUUUUAUUUGAAAAACUAGUAAACAGUUGACAUUGACACUGAUAAUAUAGUGUUUUAUAAGUUUUGAACUAGGAAAAAAAACUUUUGCUGUCACUCCUCACAUAGUUGGGAAAGAAGAAAAAUAUGUAUAUAUUUACAGAAAACAAAAGCAUUUCGGUUUACUUAUAUUAUUGCAGGUAUCUGUAUUUGUUUAAAUUCUAUAGAAUAGUUGAUUUUGUAAAAAUAAUAGUAAUAGGGAUUCAAUUACAAGUCGUUUUAAAUAUAAAAUAUUUUUUAUUUUAUUGAAUUGAGAUUGUCAAACUAAUCAUAAGUUGCAGGUAAAGUGCAGUUUCGGGUUUUGAAUGUUGCAUGACUCUCUUCAUUAAGAAAAUGAAUAUGAUGAGAUGAAUUGCUGUGAAAGACUGAAGCGGGGUGGCUUUUAUUGCCUUUGGCUUUGGAAAGUGAAGACAUUGUCACCAUCAUAUGAAAUCAUUCACAAACGGUUUCCUUCUGAUAUUACGUUGAUUGGGACUCUUAUUGUGAUUGGUUCCACUCUGAUUAAAAUAUCUCAUGCUUGUAUAUCAACAUAUAUUUUAGAAUUUUCAUUAUUUUCAUUCAUUAAUAAUGCAAUUCCAUAAGACUUAUAAUAGAAUAAUUUAAAUUCAUGUUUAAAUGAAACUAACACGAAAUUUUAGUAAAUAAAAAAUAAUUCGUAAUUAAUCUUUCUCUACUCAGUUUUUUUAUAUUAUAUUAUUCGUUUUGCACACCAAAUAUAGAUAUAAAACAGGGCUUUGAAUUUGAAUUGAGGAUUAAAUUUGUAAUUAUAAUGUUUGUAAGGUCUGCUUUGGAAUUGGAUUUUAAUAAUAAUUUUUAUUUGCCUAUAAAAAUAAGGUUAAAUUGAAAUUUUAGUCUCAAAUUUAUGACCUCUUAUAUUUAAAGAUAAGUAAAUAAAAAUUAAGAUACUUAUUUUUUUAUUUAAUUUUUAUAAAAACUAGAGUUAUUAAAAAAAUUAAUUGUAAAAUUUAUAAAUUAAAUAAAAUCAAUAUAUAAAUCUUUUUUAUUUUGAACAAUUUACACAUUUUUAUUUUUAUUUUACCAAAUUAUAAUUAAAUUUCAUAAAUUCUUAUAUAAAUUAUUUACUUAAAUCAAUAUUAGUUUGUGUAUUUUUAAAUUAGAAUAAAAUAAGAACAAUCUUUUAUUAAUUUAUAUUGAAAUAUAAUUUUAUAAUAAAAAUAAAUGCAUAUAAAAUUAAAUAUUAAAUAUUUUAUUUUAAUUUAUAAUUUAAAAAAAUUAAUAACUCUUAAAUAAUAAUACAUAUAAAAUUAACAAAAAACAACUGUCUUUGAAAUUUAUUAUGUUAACUUUAAUUUUUUUAAAAAAAUUAUGAGUUCAACUUGAAAUUUUUUUUAUUCUUCCCUUUAUUUCAUUCCUUAUCAUGUAAGCGGACAACCUACGUAAAUAUCAAUAUUUUGAUUAAAUUACAUUUUUUUGUUCAGAUCGGUGAAAUAGUAUAGAAAUCAGCUGUACUGUAACGUACGUCCUAGUCAACGGUGGUUGAGCAAAUGCAUUAGAUAUGCCUACUGUGAUUCAACGCUCUACUUUUAUUUUAUCACAUAUAUGUGAGUUAGGGUUUUCAAAGCAUAUGCAAUUAAAAAAUAACGUACUUUUAUUUAUACUAAUCAAAUCCUAUAAGGGUCAGAAGGAGGAAAUUAGGCUACAAAAUAAUAGAAGCUUGAAUUAUGGGUUACCAAAAUACCUAACAUGAAUAAGUGAGAUCAAACGCCGUUAAGAGAAAAAGAUUUUCCGACUAAUUUUUCUAUGGACUAUCUAUAAAUAAAUACUAUCUCUUCAGCCUUUCUGUCCUCUUUGAUGCAAAAAAAAUAUAUAUAUAUUACUGUAAAUGAUCAUUGAGACUUACGAUAUUAUGAAAAUUUAGAAUUGAGAAACAUUAUUUAUCCUUAAUCAUUCUUCUAUUUUUUUAUAAAAAAAAAAAAACAUAAUCCUAUCCAAUCAUUGACGAAGGCAAGGGAGCUUGAUGGACAAGGCCGCCGUUAUAGAAAAUGUUUAGUAUUUGAAAGCGUUUUACCUAAUUAAUGUGUUCCCCUUAAUCAAAUAAUAAAUACUAGAGUUUGCGUCCCAAAAUUUAAAUUAUGAUGUUGUUUCUAUAAUUAACUCAUCUUAUGUUAAAGCUAAAAAUGUUAUUGAUCACUUAAUUACUUUUAUUAUUUGCAGUUUCUACUUACAAACAAGAGAUUAAUCUACUAAUAUAUAUAAUUUGUUGGUUAUGUAAGUUUGUUAGUUGAGCAAAUCUCUUUCUCCUUGCCCCGGGCGCAUCAGGAUUCAGGAGCAAUGGAAGGGAGCACCUACCGCUAGUUACCACAAGCACCACUUGUAACUUAAAAAAUAAAAAAAUAAAAAAAUUUAAAGCCACUUUAAAUCCUAAAAGUCUGAAUCGACAUGAAAAGAUUUACUUAGAAGCGAAUUUUUAAAAUAUCUAACUUUUUUUUAAUAUUUUAUCUUGUAUAUAUGAAUUGUGUCUUUAACUUAUAACCCGAACUAAUAAAAUCUUUAAAAAUACCACAUGUACUGUUUUUUCCUUUGAAAAGUUUAUUUUUUUAUGAGAAUUGUAAGAGCCGUGAGAUUGAAACCGCUUUUGGUGAGUGGGUCAUAUAUUUUGUAAUGACGAGGGGUUAGAAAGAACACAUUUAUGUUAGGAAGAUGACCUUAUUUCAUGUUAGUGAGUAUUAAUCAUAUAAUCACUAUUCUCAUUAAGUAGCAAUUAUCUUUAAAAACUUCUCGUAUUUAACUCAAUUGUUCUAUACAUGGAUUACAUCAUAAUUUCAUAAUUAAAAAUAUAAACCAUUUUGAAUCAUGACGGUUGUACAUCACUUAAUUGACAUAGUCUCUUCCAUGUACAACAAAUUAGUCUUCUUCUUAAUAUGAUCAUUAACUAGGAGUACAUAAUUGGUUCAACAAAAUAUCUUUAUUCAAAACGAAACUUAUUAACAUUACUCUAAUACAAAUGUGCAUGCAAACAUAGAGGACAAUAAAUUACAAACAUAUCAUAAAUGAGCUUAUAGUGUUAGUAAAAUACAUAAGGUAAAUUACAUUUAAUGAUCAUCAAUAACAAUAAUGCUUAUAUUUUCAACAUGUUCUAUAAAUGUCUUGAGCGAUAAUCUCAUUGUCAAAGAAUCAGUUAUCAUAAGGUUUGUGCUAAUAUGUUCUAUUGACACUCUUUAUUUCUAAAUUUUUUCUUUCACGACAAAGUACUUCAAUUCCAUAUGCUUAGCACCCUUAAAGUAUUUGUUGUUCUUGGAGAAAAAUAUUAUUGUGGAGUUAUCACAAUACAUUUUCAGUAGCCUAGUAAUACUAUCGGCAAUUCCAAACCUGAAAUAAAGUUUUGCAGCCAAUUAGACUGAAUUGUAGUCUCAAAACAUGUUACAAAUUCAGCUUCCAUGGUAGAUGCAACAACAACUGAUUGCUUUGCACUCUUUCACGAUACUACUUCUCCGGCUAAGAGAAAUACAAAGUCAAGAGUGGAUUUUCUCGUAUCCACACAUCCAUCAAAGUCUGAGUAUGAAUACCUAAUCACCUCAAGGUAUCAUACCUCCUAUAUGUAAGUAUGUGAUCUUUUGUUUCAUGUAAGUAUCCCAGAACUUUCUUUGCAGCUUUCCAAUGUUCCAUUCCCGGGUUACUUUGAUAUCGUCCUAACAUUCAGUUGCAAAGCUUAUGUCUGGUCGAGUACAAAUUUGAACAUACAUAAUACUCCCAACAAUUGAUGCAUAUGAAAUUGCUUCCAUUUGUUUUCGUUCUAGAUCAUUUCUAGGACAUUGUACAAAACUAAAUUUGUCUCCUUUCUGAAUUGGAAAAGGUGACGCUAAGCACUUUUUCAUCCUGAAUCUCUCUAGUACUUUAUUGAUAUAUGCUUUCUGAGAUAAAUUUAACAAUCCUUAUAAUCGAUUUCAGAAUAUUUUUAUCCCUAUCAUAUAGUUUGCCUCACCUAUAUCUUUUUAUUUCAAAGUUGAUAUAGAGAAACUUCUUAGUCUCAUGAAGAAGACCAAGAUUAUUAGUUGCAAGCAAUAUAUCAUCAACAUACAUAAUUAGAAAAAUAAUUUUACUCCCAUUGACUUUCAAAUAUAUACACAAAUUAACAGUAUUUUCCUUAAAUAUAAAGGAAACAAUAAUAUCAUUAAACUUUAAAUACCAUUGACGGAAAGAUUGCUUAAGAUCCUAUAUUGAUUUCUUUAAUCUACACACCAUGUGUUUCUUUCAUUCAACUUAGAACUCCAUUGGAUGGUCCAUAUAAACAUUUUCCUUUAAAUUUCCAUUAAGAAAAAUAGUCUUCACAUCCAUUAGAUGUAACUCAAAGUCAUAAUGGACUACUAAUGCCAUGAUAAUACUGAAAGAAUCUUUUUGUGAAACUGAUAAAAACAUUUUUUAUAAUCAAUGUCAUCUUUCUCAGUAAAUUCCUUAAUAACAAAUAUAGUCUUGUAACGUUUAAGAUUGUCAUGAGAGUCACAUUUAAUUUUGAAGGCCUACUUACAACCAACUUUCUUACAACCAUUUAACCUUUUCUCAAAAUUAAUACAAUUUACUGCAUGUGAAAACAAAACUAGAUCAUCAUCAUCAUUAAUACUAAGUCUGUUUGUAUUUCAUGUAAGUAUAUGUUAUUCGAAAUAAAAAAUUAACAUAGUAUUUAAAAAAUUAGUAUAAUUUUUAAUUGCUGAGUUGCAGAUUUCAAAUUAGUGAUUCUUAUUAAUUGUGCUUAUAAAUAUCAUUCAUAUAAGAAUUGCUAGCUCAAUUGUGACCCUUGUUAUUUAUUUUUCUCCUUUGUUAUCUUCUUUCUUUUAGGUAGUAUGUUGUUUUCUGAUUAAAUCUAAUCUGUUGCAAUUUUUUCUUCGACGAAGGAAUCACACCUUUUAUAAUAAUUUACCGUAUAUAAAAAAUAUUAUGACUCAAAUGCUUGACGUGUAGUCUUUGAAAAAUAGUUAUCGACAUCGUUCAGAAAUUGUGAGUUUCAAUUAAAAAAACGCUUAGAAAUUUAGGCGUCAAAUUAGUUUAUACUUUAUAGCAAACAGGCAAGUUGUGGAUUCUAUACUUUGAUUGUUUUAUUGUUUAUGAGCUCUGCACACACUUUGAUGGGACAAAGAACAGGAAUAUAAAAGCACUGGGGACGGGGUUCAACAUUUGCAAAAUUGCAAUUAUCCAAGUCGCGGUCGUGAACAGGUAGGUACCUUACCAAUUCAUCCACAUAUUUUUUAUUUCCCUCAUGUGUCCUUCUCUGACAUAAUCGUAAAUACAAUCAAAUAUUAAAUAUGAAUGAAAAUUCAAAAGCUUCAUUCAUCAUAUUUUAAGAAACUAGUCUCUAAAAUUGUCAUUCCGAAAUCUAAAUGCAAUCUAUAAAUUCAUUAUAUGCAUAAAAGAAAUAUGAUUUAUUUAAUAUAAAAAUGUGAAAAGUUAUUAUUAUUAUUAUUAUAAUCAUAACAGGUUUUAAGAGAUUAAAUUAAAAUUAUAAUACAUGAAAAAUGCAAUUAAUUCAGAGAAAAUCAUCAAUAAAGGUUCAUAUAUUUAUUUAACGUAUCUCGAUAAAUUACUACUAUAAAAUAGUAUUUUUAAUUACAAACGUACUAGUAAGAUGUGAAAUCUGAAAUCCAGUGGUAGGCUGGUAGCACACUAACCACUAACCAGCACUUCCCAGCCCCCACCCCCACUUAGUAGUAUUUUAUUGGAAAAGCCAAAAAUGGUUAAAAAAGAAAGUUGUUCUCCACCCACUCCUCCACCCAAUCUAUUUGAUUUUUUGUUUCUUCUCUUCUCAUUCUUCUUCCGUUCACUGUCAGUGUCCUCUCUCUCUCUAUUCGCCCAUUUCAGAGAUCAGAAAGAGGAACCAACCUAUCGCAUCUCCCACGCCGCAACGCCAACGAAUUCAUAGCUCCUCUCUCUCUAUACAAAAAUCAGAGCCCUCGCUUCUCACUUCGAACAUUGCUCAUUCAUCCCUCUCAAAUCGGAAUCGCUGUUCGUCACUCCUUUCUCUGCAUCGUCGAAUGUCCAAAAUGCAUCUCAGCCGGAGAUUCUCGCGCGUUCCGAAGCCGAUCGAAAAUUCGCCGGCGAUUUGAUGGAAUCGGAGAGGUUUUCGUUUCAGUGUUCGCUUUUUCAUGGAGCUAACCGUUCGGUGCACCUCAUGCGCGCUGUCCAGAUUUCAUUGCAAACUUCGAUUCGCCGUGGUUGUUUUCGAGGUAACUCUGCUAGUUCGUGUUUUUUUUUUUUUUUUUACUUAUUGUGAAGUUUAUUUCAGUUUAAUUGUGCUCCGUGGGUUGGUUAUAUGCUGAACUCUGGUUGGGCUCUAGUUAGUCGCUGAAAGUAGUGAGAAAGUGAAUAUUUGAAGCUGAUAUGCGUUCCGUACUUUAAUUAUGUUUGUCCUGAAACGGAACUCUGGAGGUUAGGGUUUUGUCGUAAGAGUAAUGAUUUGAUCCGUAGGUGCUGGUUUAGUUCCGUUUGCUAGAUUUUAUUCUCUUAGAUAAACAAAACUCUGUAUAUUUUCUGACUUGAAAUUUAAGUGGAAGCUGUUCAACUAGCCUCUAUGGCGGCUAAUUUCUUAUAGAUGAUUCAUUGCUCUUUUCUGGGGGCCAUUUGCCUGUGGUUUUUACAUGAUUAAUUUUGAAAUUCUGCUAAUCUAAGAUUUGGUUCUUGUAAGUGGCGGCCACUUUAAAGGCUUCAUACCUUCUUAGAAAAAUAGUGUUUGAAUAUUUUCACAUAUGUGAAUAAAGGCACCGUGGUUGCUAAAAUUGGAUAUGUGCUAAAUUCUAAACUUCUGCUUCGUGCUGCAGAUUAUAUUGAUAUUGGCAUGGGUGGAGGCCCACAAUGCAAAGCCCCAGGAACACCAACUUCAAUGGGGAGGCUUGGAGAGGAAUACUGAGAAUAUUGCCUCUCACUCUUGCAUACACGACCAGAUUCUUGAUCAGAGGAAGCGACCUGGUCGCAAGGUGUAUUCAAUUACCCCACAGGUUUAUGAGCCUGUUCGCUUGAAACACCUUCAGCAUAAAGGUAGGACAUUACUUGAUGUGCCAACAUCAUCAAGGCCUCAAGAGGAUGCAAAGAAGCCUAUUAGGAUAUAUCUAAAUUAUGAUGCUGUUGGUCACUCCCCUGACAGGGAUUGUCGAGCAAUUGGCAAUAUUGUCAAAGUGAGUGUUUAAUAUAAAUGCAAAAAAAAAAAUAUUUAGAAUGUAUUUUAUCUUUACAUAACAUUGGUAUUAUGUUUCUCAAGUAUUUUAUUGAAAUUAAAUCUUUAAUUUUGUACGAACAGCUUGGGGAGCCUCCAAUGACUUCUCCUGGUUUUCCUUCUUGCGACCCCCAUGGUAAUCCUCCAAUCUUAGGUGAUUGUUGGUAUAACUGCACUUCUGAAGAUAUCUCCGGAGAUGACAAAAAACGUCGCCUUCGUAAGGUCAGAUAUUUUCUACUUUUAGUUUGUGUUGAUUCACUAGGCUGAUAAUCUUCUUAUCAGUGAGAAAAUUACUUGGUGAUGUGUCAGUUGUGCCAGCUUGUUAUGUCUCUUUGAGAAGUGUUGCUUUGUAGAACACUAGAAUAGUAAAUAUUAUAUUUAUCAUUUGUAUAAAGAUUGGUAGAGAUAUCUAUUCUUGAUGACUAAUUUCAGGCAUUAGGUCAGACAGCUGACUGGUUUAGGAGAGCAUUGGCUGUUGAGCCUGUCAAGGGGAACCUGCGGUUAAGUGGAUAUUCUGCUUGUGGACAAGAUGGAGGUGUGCAACUUCCUCGUGGAUAUAUUGAGGGUACAUUUUAUUUGUUGAGUUCAUUGUAUUUCUUGUAAAAACUGGAUGUCAAAUUUGAAUAUGAAUUUAAGAGAUUACCUUUUUGUUCAACUUCCCCAGAGGGUGUCUCUGAUGCCGACUUGGUUCUUUUGGUGACUACAAGACCUACAACUGGAAGUACACUUGCCUGGGCGGUGGCAUGUGAACGAGAUCAAUGGGGUCGUGCUAUAGCUGGUACAUUAUCCCUGAAACAUAUGUUGGUUUCAGUGGUAUUUUUUAUUAUCUUGCAUCUGGAGUGCUUCAGAACUGAAAGUACUUUUUGUUUUUCUCCAGGACAUGUUAAUGUUGCGCCUCGCCAUUUGACUGCUGAGGCAGAGACUUUGCUUUCAGCCACUCUGAUACAUGAGGUUUGUAACAUAUAAUUAUAUACAGGGAUGCAUGAGAGGCAAUAUGUAGCAUUGUUCAUCAUAUUUGAUCUUUUUUUCAGGUUAUGCAUGUUCUUGGUUUUGAUCCACAUGCCUUUGCUCAUUUUAGAGAUGAAAGGAAAAGACGGCGUAAUCAGGUAUGAACUGCCUUUUGUGCUGUAAGAUCAACUUUUUUUUUUAAUGAUAAGGCUCACAAAGUAUGAGUUUGAGCCAUGAUUAUUUUCCCCAAAUUCUUAUUAUGAUAAUAAUAAUAAUUAUUAGUGGUCACAUUCUUAUAAAUGAAGCAUGAUGUACAUGAAAGUUGAGUGGAGACAAAAAUUGUAAUGACUUUGGGGAAUGGUGAUUCUAUACAAUUUCUUUGGUUUGUCUAUAAAAUAAAUUGAGGAAUUGUAUUGAAUACGAAAACAUUUUAGGGGUAAAGUAAUGAUUAACUGAUACCAAAGUUUUGCAGCACUUAAUUGAGCAGCCAGCAUAUUUGUGUUUUUGAUCUAAUUUUUACACAUUUAUUGUUUUCUUUCCAAUAAGUAUGUUGAAUGUUUUCAGUUCCUUGAUUCCUUUCCAUGUCAGGCAUUUCAAUGACAUGUUUUAUAAUCUUAUCAGUACUUGUUGACUUUUGAAGGUUACUGAACAAGUUAUGGAUGAAAAGCUUGGACGAAUGGUAACACGUGUGGUGCUUCCUCGUGUUGUCAUGCAUUCUCGAUAUCAUUAUGCGGUAUUUCCUCGUGUUUUAAUUAAUGCUUAAGAUGUCCUUUGUAAAAAUAUUUAACAAAUGACUGAUGAGCAACUUGUUGGCAGGCUUUCUCAGGAAAUUUUUCUGGUUUAGAGCUGGAAGAUGGUGGAGGACGUGGCACAUCAGGUUUGUUAUUUGCUAUUUUUUUUCCUUGUUAAUGAAAUAUUAAAUUAAUUUAACCUUCUUUCUGAGUAAGAGUAUGAAAUAUAUGACUAACCCAAGUUUGUGAAUGACUUGCAGGGUCUCACUGGGAAAAAAGGCUUCUUAUGAAUGAGAUUAUGACUGGUUCUGUGGAUACAAAAUCUGUUGUUUCAAAAAUGACAUUAGCUCUAUUAGAAGAUAGUGGAUGGUACAAGGCCAAUUAUAGUAUGGCAGACCAUCUUGAUUGGGGUCGCAACCAAGGUACUGAGUUUGUUACCUCCCCUUGCAAUCUAUGGAAGGGAGCCUAUCGUUGCAACACAACACUGUUUUCUGGUUGUACAUAUAACAGGGAGGCAGAGGGAUACUGCCCCAUCCUAACUUAUAGUGGAGAUCUCCCUCAGUGGGCUCGGUAUUUUCCACAAGCUAAUAAGGGUAUGUAGAAUCAUGCUUUCAUUUAUAAAUUAGAAUAUGCAAGUUGAUGCUAAUACAUUUAUGAAGUGUUUGUGCUUUUGCUGUGUUUAUGUUGUCUUUGGCAAGAUUUUUUAUUAUUGGUGAUGGAUUGUCAAGAAAUUGUUAAACCUUAUAGGCUAUUGCAUUCUGGUUGAUAUGUAGUUACUGCUCUUGUUGUCCUGUUCCCAUUAUACAUCAUAGAUUUUCCUGUCACUAUUCACUGGUGACUGUUGUAAAUGAUUUUAAUCACUUAAUGAUUAUUUGGUUGUUCACUGGUUGUUGCAGGUGGACAAUCCUCAUUGGCUGAUUAUUGCACUUACUUUGUUGCUUACUCUGAUGGUUCGUGUACAGACACUAACAGUGCACGAGCACCUGACAGAAUGCUAGGUGAAGUCAGAGGAAGUAACUCUAGGUCAGAUUUGUGACUGCAUACUUAUGCCCCUAGUCUGCUUUACAUUUAUUAUAUGACAGCAGACAUGUGGAGUUGCUAACUAUUUUUCCCUUUUGAGUUCAGGUGUAUGGCUUCAUCACUAGUACGCACAGGCUUUGUACGAGGUUCUAUGACCCAGGGAAAUGGUUGUUAUCAGCACAGGUGUAUCAACAAUUCUUUAGAGGUAUGGUUUGUAGUAUCAAAUUAUCAAUAGAAGUGAAAUGCUCCUCCUUCUAAUGGUUUACUUUGUUGGAUUUGACCUGGAACUCUGAUACUGCCUGAACAAACUUUGGGAAUAAAAAAUUUCCAGUGAUUUCAUUUUCCUUGAUGGACAAAACUUACAUCUAGUUCCUUAUACCUUUGGCCAUCAAGUUUCUCAUUCUAAUGCUGACACAUGGAUGUUCUUUCCAAUAAUAAAUGACUUCCAUUGAAUAUUUGUUGUAGAGUUUUAAGUAAUAUAUCCAUGUGUUACAUUUAAUUGGAGAACUUGAUUGCUGGGCAAGAAUGUAAGGAGCUUUAUCUAAGUUUUAUCCUUAUUUGAUCUAUGCACAUACAUUGUGUUAGGGUGGACCCUGUCAGUUUGGCCUUAUGAGUUGAGAGUAGGCCUUAUAAUCUAUUAACAUAGGUAAUAAGUGAGGCUGUUAUGCAUAGAGACAGAAGACAAUGGGGGGAAUUAGUUGGUGAUAAUUAGUUUUGGUUGGGAGAGCCUAGGCUCUUGAAUUCUUGGGAGUUCAUUCAGUCAUUCUUGUAGAUUUUAUCCUUGCCAAUUCUGCUAUCAUUUUGGUACUGAUUGGAAAUUAGGGAUUUGAUCAAAUAAAAUUUCAUUUUAUUUUAGUCAAGUUUAUAUUGUAUUGCAUCAACUAUGUCCCCCGGAAUUAAUGCGAUAUAUGCUUCAGUCCCUAGAAUCAAUGUGAUUUACAUACAUUACAUUAAUUUCAGGGAGGGAAGUUGAUUUUGUUUUUUAAUAAAUAAGGCUUCCUAAAUUUUAUUGGCCUUCUCAACAUGGAUUGGUGGGAAAUAUUAUUAUUUUUAUCUUGUAAUAAGGUGAAAAUGUAUGGUUAUUGGUCCCACCUCUUUAUUGAUGUUAUUGAUAGAUAAUUUACAUUUUGAAGAAACAAUUAUACAUCAGAUUGGGCAAUCAUGUAAUGUUUGAGAGGCCAAUUUCUUUGUAACAUUGUUUUUAAAUGGUGGUGCCAUAGCAGAAUGGCGUGGCUGAUUUUUUGCCAACCACCAUAGGCAUUUUGUGAAGGGAGGCCUGCUAUGGCAGUGCCAUAAGCCACAAUGGCAUGUUUAUGUGGUGGAAUUUUGGCCUUCCGCCAUACUCUGCCAUCCACCAUUGAUAACACUGCUUCACAAUGGUUUGGGCAGGUUGCUACUACUUUUUUCUUAAGCCUGUAUAUGAAUUGUAUGCUCACCCUCCCUUCCUUUUCCUUUGUUACCAAAUUCACUAAAUGAAGCUCCAUUAUGUUAACACUUGUGUACAGGUUGCUGUGGAUGGUAUCUGGAAAGUGUGUCCUCAAGCUGGUGGACCCAUUCAGUUCCCUGGCUUUAAUGGUUAAUAUUAAUGUUAUUUUUGUCUAUGUUUAGUUGUUUUUGCAGUGGCAUUAAUUUGUCAUUUAUUACAAAGACAAUUUACUCUAUUUACAUUUUUCUAUAGGUGAAUUAAUCUGCCCUGCUUACCCCGAGCUCUGUAACACUGACCCAGUAGCUGUGUCUGGUCAAUGCCCUAAUUCAUGUAAUUCCAAUGGAGAUUGUGUUGAUGGAAAAUGCCGAUGCUUUCUUGGAUUUCAUGGGAAUGAUUGCAGUAGACGUGAGAUCUCAUUUUCUACUUUUAUUUAUGUGAUGUGAUGAUUUGUGUAAUCAUUGUGCUUAUAGCCCUAUACUGUUGUUGUUAACUUGUGCUUUCACUUAACUUCUUCCAGGUUCCUGCCCCAGCAAAUGCAAUGGCAAUGGAGUGUGCCUUUCCAAUGGGAUUUGUGAAUGUAAACCUGGCUACACUGGCAUUGACUGCUCCACUGGUAUGCACCAGUUUUUGAGACUAGAUAUUUGCUACAAGAUUAUUUCUUUGUACAAGAGAUCUACAUGAGUCGUGUCAAUUUCUUUUUCUUAGCCUGUGUGUUUUAUUUUAUUGGUUGACCAGUGUUAUUAACUUGUCCCUCAUACUUGUGCAGCUGUGUGUGAUGAGCAAUGCAGCCUUCAUGGUGGGGUUUGUGAUAAUGGAGUUUGUGAAUUCCGCUGUUCUGACUAUGCGGGAUACACAUGCCAGAAUAGCUCCAUGCUCCUGCCUAGCCUUUCGGUGUGCAAAAAUGUGCCUGGAAAUGAUAUUUCUGGACAGCAUUGUGCACCCAGUGAGCCUAGCAUACUACAGCAACUGGAAGAGGUUGUUGUCAUACCCAACUACCACCGACUAUUCCCUGGUGGUGCUAGAAAAUUAUUUAAUAUAUUUGGCAGCUCCUACUGUGACGAGACUGCUAAACGGCUUGCCUGCUGGGUAUGCUGUCUUUUCAAACUAUAUUUGUUCUUUAGCUUUUCCUGUUUUGUAAUUGUAGCAUGGUUGUUUUUAGUUAUUCUUAAAAUUUUGUUUUGCAAUCUGAUUUCUGUUGGUUUUCAUUCCUUCACUUUCUUUCCUAGUUGGUUCAUACAUUAUUUAAGUUUGCCACAUGUGACACUCAUUACGAUAAAACCAUAGUUUAAGCCGAACUUAAAUGGUUCCAUAGGUGUUUAAUGAUGUGGUUGUUUUAUUAGCCGAGAUAAUCCUGACUUUCUUAGUUUUAAUAUGCCAAUUAAAACCCGAGUGAUGAAUCUUUUUACAUUAGGUGGGAACUGAGGAAAGGAAUGCGAGACACUCUAGUUUUUAUCGAAUUGUAUUGCUUUCUAACAAUGUAGAUAUUUGAGCAUAGUUGGUAGUGUUGCAUAUUUGUCUGAAUUGGCACUUAAUUUCCAGAUCUCAAUCCAGAAGUGUGACAAGGAUGGAGACAACAGGCUUCGAGUGUGCCAUUCUGCAUGCCAAUCUUAUAAUCUAGCAUGUGGAGCUUCUCUUGACUGCUCUGAUCAGACGCUUUUCAGCAGUGACGGGGAUGGGGAGGGUCAAUGCACCGGCUCGGGUGAGAUGAAAUUGUCAUGGUUUAAUCGUCUGCGAAGCAGUUUUUCUUUGAGAAAUAGUUCCUUGAAAGGAAUAUCUGUAAAAUAUAGGCAGCUAUAACUUUUUUUUUUCUUUUUCUUUUUUAUCUUUUGGGGAUUUUUGGUUGUAAUUUUUUAAUCCUUAGAUUUAGGGGGUUGUUACUCAUCCAAAAUUGUUUAGGAAAAAAUGGAUGAGGUUGCAGAAUUGGCUUUCAAAGAGGAGCCUUUUGUAGAGAAAAUUGGGAAUCUAGAGAUAGAUAAAGUAGAGGAGGGUAAAGAAGAAAAAGGAGGAAAAAAAAGAAGGUAAUUGAAAUGUUUGUCAUAGGUUGGGCCGAAGGCCUUAAAAGGAAAAAUGGAAAAAAAAUCUGCUUGGUUCAUAUCUGUAUAUAUAAUUAUAUAUCAUUUGAUCUCUUACUUUCCUUUAUUUUGCCAUUCAUUUUAUUAUAUUCUGAUUUUCCAUUUUUGCGCUUUGCUUUGUUCGCACCCUCUAUUUUUAGAGCUAUAAAACUCUGGUGGAUUACGAGAAAGGUAUUAAUCACAACAAAAAUCGAAAAAUUCAUAUACGCUGAUUAUGCUCCUGAAUGGAGAAAAAUCUUCUCCAAGGAGAAUUGUAACUGCGGGAUGCAAACACUAAUUUACAUUUUAUGAAUGUUCUCGUAUCAUGCAAAACCGAAGUUAUCCACGUGAAAACAUUGGUUGUAUACUUUUCUUCUUGGGUUCAUGGGAAUUAAGGUAAAUAUUGGGGGAGGGUAGAGAACAAGAUGACAGAGUGGUGAAAGGCGAUGCCCAGGUCUGACUAGUGUAUUUGUAAACUGAGACGAGGAGAGUUAUCUGCUGUGUAUUCUAAAUCCGAUACUCUACUGGUACAUUCUGAACAUUCACGGAUUGAUUUUUCUUGCUUGAAAAUUAAUUGUUUGGUUCAAGAACAUACGGGUUGAAGUUGAACCAACCCUGCGAAUCUGUUGUUUUGGUUUGGUUUGAAAAUUAAUUGAGACUGUCAUGAGUAUGCGUGAUUUAUCUUGCUCCGUUUCUUACGCAACUAAUCUAAGCAUCUAACAUUCAUUAUUAUUAUUUUUUAAUUUGAUAUUGUAUAAUUUAUCCUGUCUUUACUAUUAGAGUUUAAUGUCUAUGAUAAUCUAGUAUUUGAAGAAAGUGAUUCUUAUCUUAUUUUGUUCUUUCAAUUAAUGCAUUAUCUAUUCCUUUUUUUAAAAAAAAAUCAUUAUCUAUAUUUUCUUUUUUCUCUUAACAAGUAGGAAUUUUUCUCAUUCUCUUUUUUAUGUUCACGUGACUUUUUAAUUUAAUUUAAACUUGCAAAAAUUAUAAUAAAAAAUAAUCAUACACAAGAUUCAAUGAUUUACCAAAAAAAAAAAAUAUUUGAUGCAUGAAAUUUUAUAAUACUAGAUAAAAGAAACUAAAAAUGAAUAGAAAUAAGAACAAAAAUCUAUGAGAGAUCUAUAAAUUUAAACUUCAAUAUAUGGAUCUCUCAUAUUUCAUCAAAUAUAUGAGAUCUCUAGCACACACACACAAAAAAAAAAAAUUGAAAUUGAAUUUAAAAUAAAAUAAAAUUAAUCAACUAAAACCAUGUUCGAAUUGUCAAACUAAUCUGAUUAACCUAUGAUUUCAUGAUGCCCACUCGUAGUUGUGUAAGACCGAAAAAAGUUUUCCAGUUUCUCACCUUCUCAGUUCUCACAGACUGACACCAGAAAUGCAACUAACUACGCUUCCUUUUGACAAAUUUCCUUGUCUCAACAAGCCACUAUAUACAAGAUAUAUAAGAUAAGUCCCCCCAUGAUUUCAUAAAUGAGCGAAGCCAUAAAUUGCCAAAUAAAGUUUAAAUCCACCACUCACUAAUCACUAUGAGCGGGGGCAAAUCAACACCUAAAAACUAACAAUGAUAAUUCCUUAAUUUCGCCAAAACGCCUAAACUACGUUGUCGUUGACGGUGAUUUUUAAUAUUAGAAAGUGUAACAGUGCAUUUUUUCAGUAUUUUCCAAUGUACUAAUAUUUAACCAAAAAGUUAUACAUUAAUUCUUUAAGUAAUGUCCUGAAAACAUUGAUCAGCUUAAAUUGCAUACUACUAGUAUUAGGUUGGAUCAACGGAAGAAAUAAUAACAAUAAAAAUAAUGAUGAGAAUGAUAAUGUGAUGACUAGGUUAGACUUAGUUAGGACAAAAAGUGAUAACGUAAUCGGAGGCAGAGCACGUGCAAGUGCUGGUAGCAUCAUCGUAAGCGUAACUAUACGCCGAGGGACAUGCACUCUUGAAUAUCUCCGAGUAUUGCGUCGGCUUGCAAGUCUGCGGCGUCGAGUACUCACCGGUGCAGCAAAACUCCGCCGCGUUGAACGCCGCGCACGCGCUCUUGCACGCCACAAUCGACCCUCCCUCCGCCGUAACCUGCAACUCGGUGGGGCACUUACCGUUCAAGUCCGUAACGCACCCCGCGUACUGGCAGUUACCGGUUCCUCCGGUUGCCCUCACCCCCAUCGCCACGUUGUAACCGUCCACCAAACUCACGUCGUAGAAGUCCUGGGCGGACCCGGUUCCGAUCGUGAACUCCGCCAACGUCACCGGCGGCACGCCUCCCCCGGUGCACUUCAUCCCGCCGGCGCAGCUCCGGUAAGGCAUUUUCCGAUUCCGGCGUCGUCGAAGUUGCAGCCGGUUCGGCCCCAGAACCGCCCCGACCAGCCCGCCGGAGCUGCGAGUCGGACGGACGUUCCCGUCGGUAGGGGAAACCCGCCGUCGCCGAGAACGGCGGCGCCAUUGCCGGCGAGGGUUCCGGGCCAGACCGUGUAGCUGCAACGGUUUUCGAUGGUGAACAUUGUGGCUGAAGCUAGGUUACCUGCAAAUAAAAUAAAAUAAAAAGGCUCAAUAUUGAAGUAACUAAGAAUAAUAUUAUUGAAUGUGAAAUGAGGUUUUUCUACACCAAACAUUACCUAAUGAAAACAGGAGGAGGAGGAAUAGAGAAGUUUCUGCUAUAACUCUGUGCAUGAUUUGAUAUUUUUUACUCUGGGAUUUGGAAUAAGAUGAAGUUGAAAGGGUGACAAGAAGGUGAAGUCAUGGGCGGGGUGUGAGUUUGCCAAUUGAAUAGAAUUUAUAAGAAUGAUGAUGUUUUUUUUUUUUUUUUUUAUGUAGCCUAACAGAUACGAUGGAUUGAAUCUUAAAUAUCUAUAUUCAUAUUUAAAAAAAAUAAUUUAGAUUUAACAUCUAAUCAAUUUAAUUGGAUAUAGAUUUGAUUAUAUAUAUAAGCUGCAUCCAUUUAAAUGUUAUAAGAAUUUUUAAAAAAAAUUAUGAAUAUAAAUCUAAAAAUUCAUAAUGAAUAUUCAUAAAUACUAACUCUUACCCCUAACUACAUAUAUUGAACCAAGACUCGUUUCAAUUUCACUCAGAUCAAAAACAGAAAUAGCAAAUUCAAAGAAACACAUUUUAUGCAAUUUCUAUCACUUAUCCCUACAACAAAGCACUCAAAAUACACAACCAGCAAAAAAAAAAUUGAAGUUCCACAAACCUAAGUCUGACAACAAAAAAUUCAGAGUAAAAAAAUUCUAUAAAAAAAAAUAUUUAAACAUAAAGCAGCAAUAUUCCUUCUAAAUUGUUCAUCUAUACAAGUCUGUUAGCAGAAAUUGUUCUGAUUAUAACCAAAUCGGAGCAAAAGUGUUGGAAAAAGCAUGGAACUCAAAACCCAAAAUCCCACAACAUGUGUUAUCUAUAAAUAAACAUCUUUCACUAAAAUCAAAAAUGAAGAAAAUAAAUAAGAGAUACCAAUAAUUAGUGGCAACAAUUGGGGAGUUAUUAGUGGAAAAUCAAAUCGGUUUCUGCAGAAAUGCUUUCUAAGCAAAUGAAUGAUCAAUGAUCCCAAAGAUGAAUACUACCGUAUAAGAAACACAUGAUUAUUGAAGAAUCAGAUAAAGAGAGUUGCUGAAGUAAUUUUGAAGAAACAAGGAUAAGGUUAGAUAUUGUUCUUGGUUGGUUUGAAUUCAAAUGUCCACUUAAGACCCAUGUAUCAAAAAAUGAAUUUUGGAUCUUUAAACUAAAAUAAGAUGUGGAUGAGUUUUAAAAGUCUAAUCCAUUAAAGUGACUUAAAACGGAUUGAAUUAGACCAAGAAUUAUAUCAGAUUAGGACAUUUGACUUUUUUGUCCAAGCCUACCGGUCUAUUCAAAGACUUUUCUCACAUAAUUUAAUCUUUGUUGGUUUCUCAACCAAUUCAUUAUUAGUAACGCUAAACUAUUCUUAUAAUCCCCUCUAGAGAUUAAUAAUCGCCUAAAAGUCAUUAUAACCUGACUGACCGUUACACAAUUGAGGAGAAAGUCAUGUCCAUAAGAAUCUCGAAGAGAAAAGACAAAUUAUGAUGGUCUCACUUGAAUACUCUUAGACUAAGUAUAUUAAACCCUAAAUUCAAUCUAGUUACACAAAUUUUUACUACAUUAUUUAGAAGAUUAUAUAUUGAAUUUAAUUUUCUUGCACUUUUAUGUAAAUAUUUUUAUACGGUUUCCUUAUUAAAACUUAUAUUAAUAUAUAUUUCAAAUUUAUAUAGAUUUUCAGUUCAAAAAUAAAUUAUAUAGAUUAGAUUAUAUACUUAAUUAAUGAAUGAUAUGAAAUAUAGGAUAUAGAAUUAAAUCCGUACGGUAUAGGAUUGUUGUACUCCUUAUCUUUCUUAAAUUACAUUUUAUUAUCAAUCACUUAUUUUUAUUCUUCUUAACUUUAUUAGUUUUCUUUGUAUUUCUUAAAUCACGUCCCAUUAUCAACCAAUUAUUUGUUUUUUAAUCCUUAUUUACAACUUACAAUUCGGUAAUUGGGCCCCUAUCAUUGCGGGAGCAGUUAAAGAUUGUGGAUCUUCUUGUGAUGGCACGUGCAAAUGCUGCACCACUACCACUACAAGGCUUUGAAUGGCCCCAAAUAUGUGAACCAUAUAGAAUAAAACAUUAAAUUCAGACAUAGCUUUGAACACAAACAUUAAAUUCAGACAUAGCUUUGAACACAAACAUUAAAUUCAGAUCUAUUGCUAGAAUUUCAUUGUCCUUGUAUUUCGUAAUACAUAAGUUUGAUUUGGUAAAGGGAAAUUUUUUCUUUUCACUGCCCUUAUUUUUUUAAGAUUAUUUUCACACCUACUUUACGGUUAAAAAAUUAAAUAAAAAACUCAGGCAGAGGAUAGUAUCAUAUUUUGUGAUGGAAAUGGGGAGUCUUGGUUUGCUACCCGAAAAUUAAUAAAUAAUUAUAUGAUAGAUAUAUUUUAUAUGAUGAUCUUUUAUUGUUUAAAAAUAAUAAUGUAUGAUCUUAACAGAAAGUGAACGAAAGAGAAUAAAAAUCAAUUCUUUUAAAUAGCUGUAUUAUAUUACAUCAUUAAGAGAAAGUGAACGAAACAAUCCUUGAUAUGUCAAGAUUAUAUUGAGUAUCAUGAAUAAAAAAAUGAUUGUGAUGAAAAAUUUUACUAAAAAUAAUAUCGAAAAAAAUUAAUCAUUCACAAAAUCAAUAAAUAUUUGACACAUAUGCUAAGUAUAAUAUUUACAAAUAUGAUUAAUUAAAAUAAUAAUAAACUAAUAUUGAAAUUAUUUUAAUAUUUUUAAAGUAUUUAUACCGUAAAUAUAUUCACAGAAGUAAUACUUUUUGCAUGUGACCUAUGGUUUUGCAACCUUUAAAAAUUUUGUUAGUAAUAUUCUAGAUUUAACAUUUCUUAUUUUGGUGUAAUAACUCAUAUUUAUAAUAUUACAUUAAUGUUUAUGUUACUAAUUUAAUUUAAUAUGAGAUUUAAUUAAAAAUUUAAAUAUGUUUUUAGGACAAAAUGAUAACAUGUAUUUAGUUUAGAGACUAAAAUGUCAUUAAAUAAUUAAGUUUAGAAAUUAAAAUAAUAAAAAAUAAAUUACUAAGUUCAUAAACUAAAUUAAAUAAUGAAUUUGUUUACUGACAAUCAUAUAAAUGACACGUGAGAUUUAUUAAAUUUUGGUGAAAUAAUCAUAUAUGGCUAUAAUCAUGCAAUAAAUAGAAGAAAUGAAGAAUUGCUCUGGUACGGCGCUAGAACUCAGGCCCUCCAGUUGACACUUGGUUAGAAACAUGAAAUCCUUAUUUAGUUGAUUAGUUUGCAUGGCAUUUAGUAAUAUAGAACUAAUAAGAGGAUCUAUCCACUCUUGAACGUGGAGAAUUUUAUGUGCGACCCUUGGAACCCAAAUUGAGUUAAAUUUAAUUGGUUGGCUUCCAUCGAAUUUAGAAAUAAAAAGGUAAUUUCAAAUGGAAUGUAGAGGUGACUGUUGCAGUUUAAUCUAACUGGACUGAAUUCAAAUUCUUUAAAUACAUUGGUAUUAGAUUUGAUCUUGAAGUAUUUUUCUUUUCACAUUAAUUUUGACAUAAAAAAUAAAUAAUGUCACCGAAUUAUCAAAAGUCAAAACCGACAUUAAACUUUCGUUCGCAGAGGAGUUAAUAGCCAUAGUCACUAUAUAAACACCCGAAUUCAGCAAAAAAUAAAAUAAUAUAUAUACCGAAGAUUCUCUCUAACGAAUACACGGAUGACAACUAGCUCAAAAUCACUGCUUUUCGACUAACAUGUUUUGCCAUGUGCUGAUGUGCAUAACGCGUUUUCAUUUCUAACCGUUCCACACUGCCAAAGUGUUGGCAUGACAACGACAGUACAAAGGUACUGUUGACUGUUAAGUUCUUUGUUUUUGCUUCAUCUUUCUUAUGAAGAGAGCGACUUGAGCAUUACUCACAUAAGUCUUCUAAAACAAUGUGACUUCAAGGUUUCAGUUAUAAGUACUCACAUAAGUCUUCCAAAUAUUUUCCUUUUAGGGAUUUAAACAAACCCAGCAAUGGCAAACAUAGAGAGCCAAAGUGUGUUGGAGUAUACAAUGGAAUCGUUUGUUUUCAACGGGAGAAGGAGCUAGAUAUGAAAGGAGAGCGAAGAAAAAGAGUAGAACAGCCACAACUACGGAAAACACCGGAAUGAUUCGACAGAAUUGUUGCUAAUAGUGGUGAUGCCUCCGCUGAUGUGAAUUGUGGAGUUUAGGCUGGAGAUUUGAUUUAUAUAUACUAGGGGAAGAUAGGUGACUCUAAAUUUUUAAAUAAUAAAACAAUAGAAGUUAAAAAACAAUGGCAGAAUAAAAAAAUUUAAUAAUAUAAAUGUAAUGAAAAUUUAAUUUAAGUUAGAAUAAAAUUUUAAAAUUUAAGAAGUGAUUUAAGGAUAAAAUUAUCUAAUCAAAUAUGAAUACUAAAUAAAAUAAUUCUCAUUAUUUUAAUUAUAGAUUAAUAGUUAUAGACUAGAGGGAGAGAGACAUUGGUGUCUCUUUACGUAUUUUAAACAUUUAUUUUUAUAUAGAAAGAAAAAAGGAUUUAGAAGUAUAAAAAAAAAAAACUUAUAACAAAUGAGAAUAAUGAAUAAUUAUUAAGAGAGAGUGGUAGGAGUUUAAAAACUGAUAAAAGAUAAAAUUGUCUAAAAUUUAUAGACAUAAAAAAGAUAUUUCCUUAUUAAUAAGAUAGAUUAAGAUAACAUGAUUUUCAUAGGAAAAAAAUAACAAAAAUGACGAGGGACGUGAACAAGAAAUAAAAGUGCGAGUGUGUGACCAUUUUGGAUGAGUCACUGAAAGCAUCUCGUUCUAGAGGGCUGAUGAUAUUCGUAAUGACGUGUCUCGUUCUAUUUCAUAAAUGAUUAUAAGUAUGCAUUGGCAAUAUUUUGAUUUGUAUAUGUUAUCUUUACUUGAAUUUAAUGUGAUGUAUGCGUAUGUACAUACGUGAAAUUAAUUUAGUUGAAAUUAAAGGUUGGAACUUACGAUGUUGACCAUUUCGUGAACUGAUGGCGGCCUUUUAUAAAAAUGUUUGGGUUUAGCAGCCUCUUAAUUGAGUUGUUUAUUAACCUAUGACAAUCUGUUUCCAGAACCAUAGAUUCGAGAAAAAGUCAAAUCUAAAUAUUUCAAAUAAAAAUAACGUUUAAAUAUAAAAGGUUUAUUUAUUUUAAUUCGUUUAAAUAUAUAGUUAGGACGCAGUAUUUUCAGUUUUGUAUAACUGAUAGAUAACCGACAUUUCCAUCCACACCACAUUUCGCAAGUCCUUUUGUCCAAUUAUAAAGGACAUAGAUAUUUUUAUAUUCUUAUUAUUUGUAAUUUAAUAUUUAUAUAAUGAUUGAUUGGUAUGUAAUUGAUUUUUGUAGGUUUUGUGUAGAAAGUAUUCACCCCGUGAAUCACUUGUUGCUAAUUAUAUAUUUAAAUUGAAAAAUGUUAAUAGUACCAAUUUGUGUUGCACAAAGACUACGCGCAUAUAAAUAUACUUAGCUGCUUUUGAUUUUAAUCAUAAUUCGCAUUUUUAUUUUUGAUUUAAUAUUUUUCAAAUAAUACAUGAACUCGUGAGUUCAUAAUAACUUAGUAGUAGUGCAAUAUGGUUUUGUACCGAUCGCAUAAAUUUAAAUUUAAUGAUUUUUAUAUACCACGCUGCGACUAAAGACAGUUCUCAACUGAGAGCAGAGGUUGGCUACCUAGUUACCUUUCUUUUCCUAUUAGUUAGGAAUUAGGAUCAAAGUAAGUUAGUAACCCUUUACUAAAAUAAAAUAGAUAUAAUAUUAAUUUCACCUAAAAAAACAGUACUGUUAACCGUUAUAAAUUUACAUUAGCUGAGAACUAUUUUAAUUUAUUCACUGAGUAUAUAAGGCAAGACCGUCAAACAUCUUGUUUUUUAUAUUUUUCUAAUUUGACACCUAUCAAAUAAAACAUUAACGCGUGGAUGUCGUAUUGUGCAUAAGAACUAUAUACCAUAUAACAUCACCGUAUAAAAAUUGAUCGAUUUGUUAAUAAUAUACAUCAAGCUUAUGAAAAAGAUCCGAGUUUGAUUAUUCUACAGCAUAUACUUUUGAAGAAAGAUAAUAACUUUUAAAUAUGACUAAGUCUAGAGGACAGAAGAUUAAUUUUCUAGUCAAUCUACAAGAUUAAAAUUGAAAUAAUACCUCAAAAUCUUAAUUACACUCGGAAAAAAAAAAUCGAACAUGAGAAGAUCCAUCAUCCCCACAUGCUUCACCUGUAUUUCUGUCUAAUGAGAAGAAAGGGACAAUCUCUUUCUCUUACCUCCUUGAAUUGCAGUACCAUGAAAGUUCUUAAAAAAGUUUAAGGAACUACAACGAAAUUCAUGUUGGAGUUUAUUUUUUUAACUGCACAAUUUCAAUUUUGAAGUUGUCAAUGAAAGCUUUACAAGUUCUGUAUCCAUCCAUCCAUAGACAGUCAUUACAUUUGACGUACACAAAGAUUAAGGAACCUAAUAAAACUAAAGGAGGACAUAUAUAAUAUAAUAGGCAUAAAAAAAAAGGGUUAAACAGAUGAAGCUUACAGUCCUCAAAUACCAAAAACCUCAAUAACUCUGGCGCUAGAUUAAGUUGCUAUUAUGUCUUGCUUGCAUGCAUGGAAACCUCGCGUUUGGAAGAAGAGCAAGCAACAAUACUUUGGCUAUGACAAUGCGUUUUCACAUAGGACUUCAAGAACUGAACGAGAAAAGCAGCGUUUAACACGGAGUUAAAAACCCAAGCCCCGAUUCCAUUACACCCUCCUCUCAAGUAAUGCAACGAGAGCACUCCAACGUGGCACAUUAAGUUAAAACCCAACAGCACUAUCUGAAAAUUCGCGGUGAACGACAACGCUAACGGCGUUUUGGUAGGCAACCCGAUUUCCGUCCAGAACCGAAACGCGUAAACGACGGAAUAAACCGCCGUGUAAAAAAGAAUCGCCAGCACCUGAAGCGACUGCGAAAACUCGAGCCACAGAAACGACAUGAUUAAAAGGACGGAGUUGUUGAACAGCCUGAAAAACGACAACCUUCGGUGACGCAAAACGACGAAGAAGGUGCGAAGCAGGUGGAGGAAGCGUGAGAGGUAGAAAACGUAGGACCAGAAGAAGACACGACCAGAAGGGCGAGUGCCGAGUGGGAAACAGAGCAGCCACUCAAACGAGGUGGUUCGGGAGCGCCGCCACAGCCACCGCGUGUCGCGGGCUUCGGCUUCGGCGGAGAAGAACAUGCCGGUGAAUAUGGCGGCGGAGAUCAACGACAUGGCGAGGCUGUGGAGGGCGGGGAUGGGACCCAACGGCACGGCGCGGCGGCGACGGAAAAAUUUGAGGAGUAGGUGAAGGGUUACGGCGGCCGCGACGUAAAAGCUGGUGGCGGAGAUUAGGAACCACCACGUGCCGCCGUAUGAUUGGGUGGGACUCCACCGGAAAGAGACCAUGGCUGGGUGCUCUAUUAGCCAAUAUUUCAUGCUCUCCAUUACGUAAGAAUAAGAUAUCAUAUGGACUAGGCGUUUUUGUUUGAGUUAAUGUAAUUGUAAAUUUCUUGCUGCCACAAGAGAAUUUUUAUGAGGUAAUAAUAUGAAUAUAAGGGAGUGGAAUUUGGAACACCAAAGUUGAAUCACCACUAGGAUUUGUUUAGUGGCUUUGUACACGGAGACUUUUUGGUUUCAAUGAAGUUUGUUACUAUCAUUUAUUAUUUGGUCUUGAGGCUUGACCUUGACUAAUGUUAUUGCGUUUCUGCGAGUUUUCUUUGUUUUCUUCAUCUAGAAGGAUUAUUAUAUGAUAGGUGGGAAACGAGAGCCAUAGAGAGUUGUUCUAAUUUAAAUUUCAAAACGUAUUUUUGCAUCACGACCUCUUUUGUUCUUGUAUAAUUCGAUCUUUAGACAUCGUUGUCCAAUGAAUGAGGGAAUGGGGUGGAAUUUAAUGCGAACAUGGAUCAUAAUUCAAACCCGAGUCAAACCUUAACCUGCUGUUCCAAAACCAAUGACGAGAAAAAAUUUACAUUUCCUUUUGUUCAAACGUCUCGACAAGGAAUAAGAGAGUGCUCUAAAAAUAAGAAUUGUAUGGUUGGAUUGGUGAUUAAAGAAAUGAGAGAAAUAAAGUUUGUGGGUUCAAAAACUAUUUAAGUUUAAGGACCCCGUAUAACUAAUUUAAUUUUUUCAAAUCUAUUACUACUUAACUCACAGUCAAAUAUCAUUUUCUUUUAAAAUGAAAAAUUCACCAAAGUGAAGACAACAUUCCAAUAAAAUCUUUUCUAUUAGUCAUGAAGUCACUGGAAAAAACCACGUCAUUUCCUCCUUAUAGUUUUUCUUUUCUUUUUAGAUAACUAUUUUAUUUUCUUUUUUGUACUCUUCAAUGUGUACAUAAUUGCUUUCUUUCUUUUUUUCUAAAUAAAAUAUUUUACUAUAGUUUAUUUUUCUUUUUAAAAGUUUUUUCCUUUUAUAAUUCAUUAUUAUUUAUUGUGAAUUUACCUUGAUCAAAUUCUGAAUUACAAAGAUACUUUUUUCUAUAUGAACAGGAGGUCUAAGUGAAAAAAGAAAAAAGCCAUUGAAGAAUUCCGCGGAAUUCUUGAUUUGCAGCCCAAAAAGUAAAACGGAAGAAGCUUCGUCCUUUCUGUCCCUGCCCGCAGAUAAACCAAAUUGCAAGUCACACAUACACGAUAUGAUACCCCGUCCUCCCUCUCUUCACUUUUGACUAUUGACUUCCUCAACCGAUCCACUCUUCUCUCUAUCUGCAGGUUCGUAAUUUUCUAUUCCCCUCUUCUUUCCUUUAUCGUUUUUUAUUUCAUCUUCUUUCCUGUAAAUGCCCCCAAUCUGUAAACCCUGAUUUUUCUUCUUUGUAGAAAUUCGGAAUUUUUAUGUGACAAAGACGUUAUGAUUAUCUAGUUUUUUUCUUUUUCUUUUUUUCCCCCUGUACAACGAUAUCUGGCUAUUUUGUCACCUUCACCUAUUCUUGUUUGUUUGAUUCUCUCUGCUUAACGUAACUUUAUCAUUUUUCUUUAGAGAUUUUGCUGCAUUUGACAGUUGUUUCUUUCAAUUCCGUCCAACAUUUGGGCUUCGUCGUUUACUUGAGGCCGUGUCAUCGAAAACGCGUUUUGUAUGUUAUGAAACGACGCAAUAGCCUUUUUGGUUCACGAAUACCACAUGUAAAAUAUUGAUUAUUUUUAUCCCUAAGUGUGCUGUACGAGGAUUGUCAUGUGUAAGCCUGUUAUAUAUGUUAUGAAUCACUCAUUAAUUUGUAUAGGCAUUUGAUGGUUUGGAUUUUGUAGAUGGCAAGUGGGUUUGGGGAAUCAACAGGGAGAUCACCCCCAAGCCCUUCCUACUUCAACAACAAUAAUAACAAUGAUGCUGCCAAUUUUGAAUGCAACAUUUGCUUUGAAUUAGCGCAAGACCCGAUAAUUACUUUGUGUGGUCAUCUUUUCUGCUGGCCCUGUCUUUACAAAUGGCUUCACUUUCACUCACAAUCACGAGAAUGCCCGGUGUGCAAGGCCCUCGUGGAGGAGGAGAAGCUGGUUCCCUUGUAUGGGAGAGGAAAGUCGUCGACUGAUCCAAGAUCAAAAUCUAUUCCGGGCGAUAACAUCCCGCAUCGUCCGGCUGGUCAGAGGCCUGAAACUGCUCCUCCACCUGAAACAAAUCAUUUUCAUCAACAUGGGUUUGGAUUUAUGGGUGGCUUGGGGGGAUUUGCGCCACCGCCGAUGGCAACAACAAGAUUUGGGAAUUUUGCAUUGUCCGCAGCUUUUGGUGGUUUUAUACCAUCCUUAUUCAACUUUCAGUUGCAUGGGUUUCAUGAUGCUGCCAUGUAUGGGGGAGGGGCUGGUUUUCCUCAUGGAUUUGCCAAUACAUUUCAUGGUGUCCAUGCUCAUGGAUUCCCUCUGCGCACCCAUCAAGGGCAACAAGAUUAUUAUUUGAAGAAGCUUCUUCUAUUUGUUGUUUUGUGUGUUGUUCUUGCUUUUAUAUGGCAAUAGGUUGGAUACAAUCUCUAGCAGUAUCUGACUUCUGCUCUGAUAGGUCUUCUGAUGUGCUCUUUGUUUUGUAACUAAGGAGUAAGGAUGUUGUUCAUAUGAUAAUACUGUCUUAUUAAUCUUGUAGUUCUUUUCUUUGUGAUAGCUUUGUGGUUCCCAUGGUAUCCAUGUGCAAAAGAUAUAAAGCAUGAAAGCAAUGCACCCAUUGUUAGGAAUAAGGAUCUGGGUACCGGUCCGUAGAUAUUAAUUUCUUAGUUAUUAUACUGAGUUUGAAACUACAAGAUAGCUGAAAUAGUGAAGUUAUGCCCUUGGUUUCCUUUUGUGUUCUCAUAUUUGCAAUUACAUGUUGGCAUGCUAUUGCUAAUGUUAUAUCUAAUAUUAUUUUGGUGCAUACUACUUGUCUACUUUCAUUAUUCAGCUUGUUUUUGUGCUCUAUUUUUCUAUUUUAUGAUAAGGGAUUGUUUUUUACAUUACUAUGACAAGUAUAUAGAAAUCUAAGACUAUGCUUGGAUUGGUCAAAGGAGGUGGAAAGGAAUGGGAUUAAAUACCCUUGUUUGGAUAUAUAAAAAGAGGAUGGAAUAAGAAGGAAUGGGAUGGAACAUAUACCAUUGUUUUAUGACUUUUUGUCUCAUUUUUCUUCCCUUCCAAAUUGGGAGGAAUGAGUUGGAACAAAAAAUCCGACCUUUUAUAAAAUUAUUAAAUUAUUUUUCCAUCCUUACUCUAUUUCCUCUCGUUCAAUGCCGGUCUCAACUCUCAACAUCUCUCAUGACACCAAAUGCAGCAGCCGCACAACUUGGAGUUUUUGUUCACAAUGCAAUUCACCGCACCACCCAAGGUAUUUCUCCCCUUCCUCUUGUUCUAUGUAAUUCACUGUUGCUUGCUGUCACUUAUUGAACUAUUUUUUAUCUUUUAGUGGGAACAAAGGAAAGAGUGAGGCUUUAAUAUAACCCGGGAUUUGACAACGCUUCAAUGAGAAAUGCUAGCUAUCCACUUUCUAACACACUCUUUGAACACAUUUUCUAUUAUUGGUUGAAAUUUAUGGGAAAUCACAAAAAUUUUAGAUGUUCAAUGUAAUUUGAAUGGCACUGUUAGAUGUUUUAAGCAACCCUGCUGUUCUUUCUAACAAUGAAGUGAUUUUUUUUUUUUUUAAAUCAUAGAUCCUUUUUCAGCAUAGUCAUAUAUUGCAGUUCAUAUUUUUUAAAACAAGGAUAUAAUAUAGGAAUAAAAUAAUAAUUUAUUAAUUUUAUUCUGCUAUUUUCCUUACCUAGACAAUGGAAUGAGAAUUUUGUUCCAUUCCAUCUUAGUAAUAUAUGCAAACAAUGGAAAGAAAAUUUUAUUCCUUUAUGUUCUAUUCGACUCCAUUCGAUUUUAAUUCAUCCCAUUCUAUCUUUUCUCCAUCCAUCAAUCCAAUCAGUCUAAGUACCCGGAUACUAGUGGCCUAUCUAUAUAUAAUGUUUGGUUUGGAUGUAAUAAGAUUUUUAGCCUGUUUAUAGUUCACUAGUACAACAAUCUUUGGAUCUGUUGACAAAUAAAAAGUUUUCUUUUUUCCAGAUUGGUAUGACUGUUAAGUGGGCAUGUUAGCUGUAUAAGUUCUUUUUUGUUUAAAUAUGUUUUUAGCUCUUCAAAUUUAUAUCACUAUUGUUUUUUAGUCCUUCCUGCAGUGAAAAACUUUCACAAAUUGUGCAUCCAAACUGUCAAAAAGCAGUCAGGAGAGACAUAAAAGAAUUUUGAAAUUGAGAAACUAACAAAAAUAAAUUUAAAUUUAGGAAAUAAAAACAACAAUGACCAAAAUUUGAUUAACCAAAAAAUAUUUAAGUCUUUUUAUUUUACCUUCUCAUUAUGUUUCUACUAUCUGCUUGCUUUUCUGCUCAAGUGCGAAUCUGCUUAUCAUCAUUUUGAUAUAUUGUAACCUGUCAUUUCAAUAGCAUGUCUGAAAGUCAGUAUAUCUAUUGCAGUACCGCCUACUUUUCUGUGAUGAUUUUGGUUAAGCCUAACAUUUAUUUAUCUGGAGAUGAUUUUCUAGCUGUGUACAGUUGUCACUACUGAUGUUAUAAAUAUCUUUCAUUUCAAUAGCAUGUUCCAAAGUCAGUAUAUCUAUGGACCUGGGAAACAAGUUUAUUAACCUGCAGGAGCUGAAAUGUUUGAAUGGAUCCUAUUUUUGUGGUAUAUGUUUGUUUUAAAGUUGAGUAGAAUUAAUUUUAAAUUGUUGAAUUGGAAUUUGUCUAAAUUAAUCUAUAAUAAAUUUCACAAUGAAAGAUAGCUAUCUAGCAUUCAAUUUUGCUCGUUGAAAUUUUGCCUAAACCCAACUGGGAGAGUUAGAUUAGAGAUUCCGGCAUGGCGUAGCUAAUUUAGUUAGCGUUAUUCAUGGAGGGUCAUUUUAGAUGCAUUUUUUCUGAUAGUUUUAGUUAAAUGAUAUAGUUAUACAUACACCCACACAAUUAAGCAGGUCAUUUUUUGCAUCAUCUUGUGUCAUAAUUAUAUAUUUUUUUCAUUUGUUUUAUUUCGGCAUGGCGUAGAUAAUUUAGUUAGCGUUGUUCAUUUAUUGUAUUUGCUUCGCUCAUUUCUAAGAGUCCAGGGUGUUUUCGAUUAAAAAAAUAAAAUAAAAUGAGUCCAGGGUGUUUAGAAGAGGAUGGCGUUCUGAAAAAUAAAAUAAAAGUUAAAUUAUUUACUUUGACUCUAGGUGUUUCCAUUUUAAGUUUUACUCCCUACAUGUAUAAAGUUAAACUUUGGUUCUAAUUGCUAAUAUUAUAGAAAACUUUUUAACGGUGUAGAACCAUUACAAAUUUUGUUGACAGAAGAAUGUAUAAUGCGGAAGAACUUGUUAAACUUUUAUUCAUGAGCUUUAUAUAUAUAACUAAAAUGCAAGAUGAAAUUUAAAUAAUAAUAUUAUCCCAACCUUAAAACCAAACUGACAAUAUCCUAAUUCUAAUUAAUAAGAAUAAUGUCUUUAUCUUGAUCUAAAAAUAUCUUUAAAAUUUAAAAUAUAACAAAAAAGCUAAACUAUCAAAUUUCACAUUAUAGAUAUUUAGACAUAUAUUUUUAAUACUUUCCCCUACAACCUUAGUGUUUUAAAUGCUACAUGGGUAACGUUUUGGGUCCUCCUAUUGGGCGUCAUCAAACUUGUUUGUCAACUUUGUUCACAUAGGGAGAACGAACAGUGCCUAACUUCAACCUCUUCUAACAGAAAUUUCAAACCUUCCCCACUUGCCACAUUGGAAUACCUUAGUUAUCCAUACGUACAGCGAAGCAAAUAUUUGUGCUAAUUGGCUAGCUAACGUUAACCUUGGUUACAGCCCACACUAGUUCCUUCAUUUGGAUCAUUUUCGACAAAGCCUCCCUUAAUAUUCGAGAAUAUGCAUUAUGUCGUAGUACUUCUUGUAGCUUGUUCUUUUAUUUCCUAUUUAAGAAAAACUCGUGAAAAACAAUAUUAGAGCACUUGAAUGGUAAUUUUACAAUGAAAACUACUUGUCAAUAUUCAUCCUAACAAUUAAUAAAAAAAUUGCACGUCAGAAGUAUAAUAUCCAAUCUACACUAUUUUCCAAGAAACAUAACAUAUAGUGUAUAUUAGUGAAAGAUUCUAUCACAAUCUUUUUAUUUUCUCAGUCUACCGAAGUAUGCAAAAUGCUUCUUAUCUAUUGACGCUCAUAUUCACUUCUACAGAGCACGCUUUAAUUGAAUUUCAACUAACAACUAAUAAUGAGGUCCAAACAUGUUUUACUUUGUAUGGCUUUGUGGUGAGGGAAGAUGUCUUUUUUACUUUUUUAUACAAAUAGAAAUACAAGUUACACGUGAGAAAAUUGUUAGUGGGAACAGAUAGAGACGGACCCACAUUAAGUAACAAGACUAAACAUACCCUCACUCAGUUAUUUUAAUGUUACUAUUAUAUGUUAGAUUGUUAUUUAGAUUUUAUUUAUUGUUACUUAGAUUUUAUUGUUUGUUAUACUGUCAUUUUGUCAAAUUUUGUUAUCUGAAGUAAGAAAUAUUAUCUUAUUCUUAUCAUCUAAAACUUCUAAGUUCUCAAUGGCUUAUGUUGUUCGUGUAAAAACUUUAGUAUUCUCAACCAAUAAAAAAUAACCAUAAACAUAAUUUUUAAGAUAAUUAUUAUAAAUAUCAACAAAUUUAUGUUAUACGAUGAUUUGUGAUUAGGUCAUUUAAACUAUUUUACAUUGAGAAUAUAUAACCUAUUCUCAAUUUCUUAAUCCAAAUGCAAUCCUUUGUUCUGACUAAAAUUUAACUCUAUGUUUUGGUCCGAGAAUUGUGAGUUAUUCAUGAAUGUUCUAGGCUUCUAGAGAAACUGUUGAAUGUAAAAUACGAAUUAUAUUGUGAGAUGAUUUGUUAUGAUGGACAUCUCACGAUCUGAAUUCUCAGCGGACAGACCCAUUUUUUUCUGUUUGUGUAGCACAUGUUUAUGUUUUGUUUGUCUGGGUAAUGCUAAAAGAGGCCAUCAUCUUUUGGUCGUGGACCUCUUGUACGAUGUACUGCACAUUCACUUGCGUUAAGGGUGAGAAUGCCACAUGGUACAUGACAAGAGUGUCUACCAAAAAACUAAAAGGCGUGACAGUAUUAAAGUCUUCAUCUAAGGCCAGGAGGGCGUAUUUACAAAAACAAAAUAUUCUUAUAAAUAUUGAUAAAAAACAAUAAUUAAUAUUGUAAUAAAUUAAAAGUUUGAUCUACAUAUAUUUAUAAUUUGGAACAAAUCACGUUGAUUAAAAAAGCUUGUAUAUAUUAAAAAUAUUAAAUUAUACCUAAUCGUUUAGUACUCUAAAAAUUAGUUAGUGAAAUUGAUUUUAAAAGAAAUUAGUUUUGGUUAAAAUUGGUUUUGAAAUAAGUGAUUUAUGUUUUCCUUUUUCCUUUCUCUCAAUUCAUUCCACCAUCAUGAAGGGUUGUGUGAGAAAAAACGAUUUGGCUAUUAAGGACGCGACUUCGAGCUACUGGGAAGAGGAUAGAAUUCUUGAAAUUUCUCUGAAAAAGGUGGAUAGGAAGUUAGCUAGUUUGGGAUUUUUUAAGCAACCCUUACUCCAAAUUGCGUACUUUUAUUUUAUUUUUAUUUUUCUGGUUACAAAAUUGCGUACUUUGUUUGCCUUCGCUGUUUCAUUUUCGUUCUUUGUUAAAAUUAAUUUGGUCUCUUUCUCGUUAGAAUGAUUACUGUAUCAUGCUUUUUAAGUAGCUUGCUCAUAAGACAUAAAGAUUAAGAUAAAUAAAAUCUUCAUGAUAAGUUAUAUCAUUCAUUCUAAUCUAAACAAAAUCUUUUCAAUAUUUUUAUUUGAAAUUCAAUUUUAUUAACGGGUAUUUUAGAGACACUUAUUAAAUAAUACACGGUUAAAUGUUUUUAAUUAUUUAGCUACUAUUUUCUUGUUUUCUGGUAUAUUAAAUUUUGCUUUUAAUUCUUUAACACGUAUUAUAAAAAGUACUCAUUAACAUUAUGUUUAAUAUUUUUUUCUCUUAAUUAAAUCACUACUUAUAUAUUUUCCUUGCAUAACUGGUUGGGAAGUGCAACACGCCUGAACCAUUCCAUGUGUAAAAUGUGAUAACAUUUGAUGAAUAUUAUGUUAGAAUAAGAUGAGCCGAACAUCAAAGUGAAAAUGAUUAUUGACCAAUAAGUUGGGCAUUUGUACGUCUGACAUUUUGUAGAAUCAGCGUGACCGGUUUUCCAAGUGGACCCGUUAGUUAACAAAAGCCUUAAAUUCAAUCAUUCUUUAGUGAAUUUAUCUUAAUUACUUAAUUAAUACUUAAUCCUUUAUGACUUAUGAAAAUGAAUGCCUAUGGAAGAUUUGGUUGCUGGGAUAUAGUUUUCGGGUGAGGGUGUGAUAGUUCAACAUAUACUGUAUCGUAAGAUGAAAACAAAAAGGAAAUUAAAAUAUGGCCUAAUUAACCACGAACCAUGAACAACAUUCAGUUUCAGUGUGUGUUGCUUACAAAGAAAGCCGUAAGAACAACGUUUACUGAGACGAAGAAACACAGCGAAUACGAAGAAACACCACCACGGACACUCUUUACUAGUCGUCUGUCUCAGUCACUUUAGAAUAAAGUAGUCUCUACCAUUUUGAACGGGCAGAGGGCUUCUCUUAAUUCCUUAAGGACGUUCCUAAUCUGUAAUCUAUUUAUUUAGUGAUAAAUUUUAGUGUUUCCUAUCUCAAAUUAAUAUCUACAUUUACUUACAUAUGUUACGGAAAAAUUUAUUAUAAGGAACUAUGGAAGAACAAGCAAUGAAUCGCUAGCAUAAUGUGUAAAAUGUAAAAAGAAUAUAACUAAACAUCAGGAAUAAUUAUAUAUACCUUAAUGGUGGACGAGCAUGUGAAAUUAUAUCAUUUCAAUUAUUUCGGGUCAGGCCACAAAGACUGUUGUCGUGAACCCCUAAUUUCAACGUGGAUGACCUAUUUUAUGACAGAUUAGCAAAAAACUAAUUUGAAUACAUAUAUCUAAAUUAACUUAGACAAUAUUUGGUAUUUUCUCUUUUUGAGAGAGAGAAACAUGUAUUUUUUUUUCUUCAAAGCAUUGAUAAAAAAUAAGCAACUCUUCUUUAAAAUAAGAAUUAAACAUGUAGUUGAAUAUAUAACAUUUGAAUAUAUAUAUAUAGUUUUGGUUCCAAACUUACUAAAUUAGUUUAAAUAUUAAAAUUACAAAUAAAAUGUUAAAUGAUAAUUGCAGCAUUUAAUGUUAAUUGAUUGAAUUUUUUAUAUUAUUAAGUUUAUGAUUAGGAUAAAUGUCUCAUGCUAAGCAGCAAAAAUCACAUGAUAGACUUUAUGACUCAACAAAAAAAAAAAAAUUACAACUGUGCUAAUUGUUUACACAAAAAACCUACCAACAGGAAAAAAAAACUACCAAGAGAAUUGAUGCAUAACAAGGUUUAGUUUUAUUAAUGGUGUCAAGUUUAUAUUUUAACUUCAUACAAUUUAACAGAGGAUGCACUUUUAGGGAAAAAUCAAUUAAUUAAACUCAAAUUUGUAGCUUUAUGUCAUUAAAAAAACAUAGGUAAAAUAUAUAACAAUGUCUUUUUUUUACUGCAACAAUGUGAAACCAGGCAAAGUUCAACUAUUAAACAAAUUUAUCAAUAGAGUUUAAUAUGGCCAAGAGAUAUUUAGGUUCUUAAAUAUGUUGAUGAGGCAAAAACACUUCAUAAUUAUGUUUUGAAAGAAAUUAAUCUCUAACUCUUGGUUCAAGAAUAUUCUUAAUGAAAAAAAUAAGAUAUAACUGUUUUGAAAAGAGAGGGCAAAAUACUUACACAAAUGUUUCAAACUAAUAAUUCAUGAUUAAAAUGUGAGCUAUCAGUUAAGUUUUAAUUGACUUUGAAAAAAUUAAGUUAUCGGAAGGUGACAAUUUUUCCCCAAAGAAACUGUUAGUAAAUAGAAUAAAUAAAUAAUUUUAAUAGAAGGCCACACGGUUUAAUUCAUUUCUUAAUAAAACCGCGUUCUUAUCAUUUAAUAAAAAAAUAAUAUUACCGUUAUUAUAAUAGUUAAUUAAACUAUUGAAUAAAAUAAAAUUUCAAAUUGUUAAGUUACAUUGUUAAAGCAUAAAGAAUAAAAUUUUCAUACAAAAGUAUAAAGAAUAAUCACAUAAAAAAGUAUAAAGAAUAAAACUUUAUGACAAACAUGGUACGUGGUAACGCGGGGAAGUCACUCUACACUCAAUAACCCGAAGCUAGAAAAGCAUCGACGAGAAAUGUGAACUGAACUCACUCACUUAUAUUCUCCAAUUAUAAGGCACCACCACCAACUCAUUUCAAUAUUCUCUCUUGUCUAAAAAACAAGUAUGAAAUUCAAGUCAAGAAGACUAGAAGCAGAAGCAGGAGCACUGGUCUUAUUCUUUCUCAUUUUGUCAUCGUCAUCUUCUUCCAAUUACGCCAAACCAAGCACCAUCAUUCAUCAAUUCAAGGAAGCCCCCGAAUUCUACAACUCCCCAGAAUGCGCCUCCCUCACCCACAGCAGCGACAGCUACAUAUGUUCGGAGGAAGCGGUACACGUGGCAAUGACGCUGGACACUACAUACAUCCGAGGAUCCAUGGCGGCGAUCCUCUCGGUCAUCCAACACUCGUCGUGCCCGCAGAACACAUUCUUCCACUUCGUCUGCUCCUCUAGCGCGUCCCUCCUACGCGCCGCGAUCUCCCACUCAUUCCCUUACCUCAACUUCCACCUCUACACCUUCGACGACUCCCAGGUCUCGGGCCUCAUCUCCACCUCAAUCCGCUCCGCACUGGAUUGCCCCUUAAACUACGCGCGCUCCUACUUGCCCAGCCUCCUACCCCUCUGCGUGCGGCGCGUGGUGUACCUGGACUCCGACCUAAUCCUCGUCGACGACAUUGCCAAGCUGGCAGCCACACCACUAGGCGAAAACACGGUCCUGGCAGCCCCCGAAUACUGCAACGCCAACUUCACCUCGUACUUCACCCCAACGUUCUGGUCCAACCCUUCGCUGUCUCUCACGUUCGCGGAUAGGAGGCCGUGCUACUUCAACACGGGGGUUAUGGUCAUCGAUUUGGAGCGGUGGCGGGAGGGGGAUUACACCACCAAAAUCCAGGAGUGGAUGGAGCUGCAGAAGAGAAUGAGAAUCUAUGACUUGGGUUCUCUGCCGCCGUUUUUGCUUGUCUUUGCUGGGAACAUUGCUUCCGUGGAUCAUAGGUGGAACCAGCACGGCCUCGGUGGUGAUAAUUUUCGUGGCCUUUGCAGAGAUCUGCACCCUGGUCCUGUUAGUCUCUUGCAUUGGAGUGGGAAAGGUAAACCGUGGGUUCGGUUGGACGCUAAUAGGCCUUGCCCUUUGGAUGCGCUUUGGGCACCCUAUGAUCUAUUGAACACACCCUUCUCUUUGGAUUCUUGAACAAAAAAUUUAUUCAAAUUCGGAUUAUGAUAGGAUCCAUAUAAAUAUAUACUCAUACAUAUAUACAAUUUGAGCUCUCUCUCUCUCUCUGCUGGCGCUUUCGGAUCGGACUACGAUGGAACGUACGGUUCAAUGCAAAGGGUGACGAUUUUUUUUAUUUUGUAGAUUCAUACAGAUCUGAAGUGAACACAAGGCAACGCAGAUUCAAACGGGGAGGAAAGAAAAAGGUGAACUGAAGAGGGUGAAUGAGAUUCGGGAAUUUUAAAGUGACAGGUAAUUGUACUGUUGUUAUUGUAUCAACUAUCAAGAUAACUGUGCAUAUAAAGAGCUUCCAUAUUUUGGAUGCGUAAAUUCCUCAACUUUUUUAUUUUCAACUUAAUAAAGCUCUGUAUAGAGUAUAGAACACAUUGAUUGUUCUUCCUUUUAUUAUAUUGCGCCACGGUAAUAAUUCGAAGUUAGUUUGGUUUUCAUCCUAUGACUAUGAUCAUGUAUUAAUGCACGUGGAGGCUUCCUUUGAUAAACCUAGGCAACUGAAUCCUAAUUAGCUAAAACAGUGGGUUGAUAUGAUACCGGAUUCGAUUCCACACGGCCGCGAAAAUAACAUGAAUGAUUUAUAUUCCCACACACGCAUAUAAAAGUUUUUGAAUAUUUAUUCCCACACACCGUAGUAAUAACUUGCUUUAAAAUAUUAGAGUAAUAUAUUUUUUAUAUUAAUUCACAUUUGUUUGAGUUGCUCCAACUCUAGAAAGUAUAUUUGUCCAUUAAAAUUUUGUUUGAAAACUUAGUUUGGUUGAAACAUGACUUGAGUUGCUUUUUGCAAACUCACCUUACAAGGUUAAAUUUAUAAACUUUAAUCUAAAUAUACACUUACUUUACAACUUACAACAGUUUUGGUUUAAUUUUUUUUGCAUAGAAUAUGGCUAGCCAUGUGAUCCAUAAAUGUUAAUUGAUCUUUUAUUUUGUUUAUUCAACAACAAAAAACAAAUAAUUUCUAUUUAAUUUUUUACUAAUUAAACUGAAAAACAAAGUAAUAUAACAUCAAUUUGAUAAAUAUCAGAGUGACGGAAAACGACAAGAGGUCAAAGUCAAAAUUUGCGAUCAAUACAUGAUAUAAAUACUGGCCAACCAAUAUGUAAAAAUAAGUCUUCUAUAAAAAAAGAUUGACACGAGAAAGAGUUCAUAUAAAUAGUUAAAUACUGUAUAUCUUGAAUGGCAAGUUUCUUUGAAAAAAUUCAAUUUUUUUUUUUUUGCAUUUAUAAGUUCUCUUUUCUUUGAAAUGUAGAUUAGUAUAAAACGGAUCAUAGGUCAAUGACUAGUUAAAUUAUUUUUAUUCACUUGACAACCUGAAAGAUAUAUAUUCAUUCGUUAUUUCCGUUUCUUGUUCAAUAAUCCCGUUUGUGACCCUAAAACAAUUAUUGCUUAUCCUUUCUAUUAAUUGAAGAAAAAAAAAAAGCUGUGUCGGUAGACGAAUAGGAAAGAAACGUGCGAGUACAUCAAAAUAUCUGUAAAGGUGAAGGAAGCUUUCAAUAAUGACUCGUGGCAAGCAGUGAGCGACUCAAGAUGGCGUAUGUGACCCUUUAAUCGUGAGGACUGAGGAGUUUCCAGUUUUUCCAUUUCAUUAUUUUGAUAUCAAAAAUUGAUAUUAUUUGUAAUAUUAUACAGUAUAUGAUUAUUUUUAUCUUUUAUUUAUAUAUAUCUUGAAGAAAAAAGAAUAUCCUACCUUGAUAAGUUGAUAGGAAGAAAGUGGGACAGGAAAGUAUUUUUCUUUAAAUAUAUAAAGUUUUUUUUUAGUCCUUCAAACUUAAUUUUUUAUUAUACUAUUUUCUUCAUAGUAAUUUGCAAAAUAGAAUAUCUUAUAUACUGCUCUUCAACUUUAGUUGUCAUGAGAUCCACUCUUGUUGUCUCCUACUUUUGCAUUUCUGCAUUUUCUUAAGCAAAAUUAAAAUUCAAUAGAAAAUAAGUGAUUAACAGAAUAAGAGUAUAUCGUUGAAUACUAGUGUAUUGUAUAUAUAGCUCUUGUAUAGAGCCUUUUUUUCAACGUCCAUGCAUGUUUAUCGGCUGUUGUGUCCUCUCCCAAACUUUCUCUCCUUUCAUAUUUCUUCUUACAUGCCCUUAUGGAGUUCAAUAUUUUUCAAUGUGAGGCCAAGGGUCAUAUUGAAACUCUUACGACAUUAUAUGAAGUAGUAAUUUUGUAGAUACACAUGCUAAAGAGAAAGAAAUAAAAGACAAAAACAAAUAAGUUAGUCUACUUAUUUAUAUACUUUUUUCCUUCUUAUUUAUAAGACAAAAUUAAUAAUUUUUUAUAUAUUAUUAUAAGAUUUCAUUUAUAUAAACUAAUUUGACUAAAAUAUUAUAUAAUAAGAAGAGAAGAAUAAAAAGGAAAAAGAAAUGUCAGUUAAAUACUUAUACGGUUGAGAUAUCUAUAUACGUGGCAUUGUAGUGCUGAAACUUUUACAUAGCUUUUAAUAUAAUUUUAUGUAGUGCUGAAACUUUUACAAGCAUACAUUGCUGUGUGUUACGGGGGAGUUGGCUGGUCUAGGAGUUAUUUCAUAUUUAUGCUUUUAACCUAUUAUAAAACCAUUUGUAGGGGUCGUGCAGGUGGAAGGGCUACAUACAUAAUCCAUAUAUAUUUUUUUAGUAUUGGGGGUAUUCCUUACACCUUCUAGUUAUAUAUAUUGAAGUUUAUUUUUGCUGAUAAAAAAAAUUACGUGUUAUUGUCAGAAUUUGUUUCUAUCUUUUGAUUUUUUUAAAAUUUGAUUAACAAGGACAUUAUCCAUUUACAAGACAUUAAAUAAUCUUAGUGGAGCUAUUUCGGAAGUUAUUUUUCCUGAGUCAUUCCAACAAUUCUAAGGUGUAAUAUUAUAUUCAUAGAAGUCAUAUUCUAAGGUGUAAUAUUAAUAUUAUUUUUCCUGAGUCAUUUCAAUAAUUUUAUUUGUACUUAGAUUGACGUAAAUCUAAUUUUUAAGCAAUUGAUAGAGUAGAAGAGAUAAUGAAUUCUAAGUGAGAAAUUAAAGAGAAAAAUAAAAGGCACAAAGACAAAAAUAAACAAUGAUUCAAAUGCGAAUGAUGAAUUUAGAAUGCAAAUAUGUUGAGACCUAGCAUGCCAAAACUACUUGUGAUGAUACAAUGUUAAUAAUUUUUCUCUAUCUAAUGUUAUUCCAAAUUUUCUCAUAUCUACUAUGAUGCUCUAUAUUUGGUUCCCCGCAUGAAGAACAUGAUUUAUUUAUUUUUUCUUUUAAAUUCCUUUGCAAAGAUAAAAUAAUAAAUCGCAUUAAGAUUAAAUAUGCAUGAAAUAGGCUAAACAAAUAUCACUCUAUUCCUAGACAUGAUUUAAUUUAGAUGCCAUUUUUCAGUUUUCUAGACAAUAACCAUUUUCCAAUGCAUCACUUUCUGAAUAAUACAUGAGCAUGGAUGAUCAGACCACAAUCAAUAACAAUAAAGUACAACAAAAAAUAAUAAAAACUGGAAUUGCACUAAAUAAAUAGUAGGAAAGAGAUACAUUACAAGAGUUGGUCUGUUAGACUCCCAACAAUGGGGUUUAACCUCUCAUUGCCAUGAGAGACUUUACACUUUAAGGGUUAAAGUGAAUAGAAGAAGAAAAUGGAUGGAUAAGGGAGGAGAAGGGGAGAAUGGCUAAAGAAAGAAAGUUUCUCCUAUUAGAGAUACUCAGGCUUUGGGUGUAUUCAAUAGAAAGUGUGUCUUUUCCUUUAUUUCAUACUCCUUUUAUAGGCCUAAAGUAGUUUAAAUUUUACGCGACCUCAUGCUAAGCGCGUCCUUCUGGGCUUAGCAGGUAUUGUGCUGUGAUCAUGCGCUGAGGGGGGCGACGUUUGGGCUUUGCGAGUAUGGCGGGGAUCACGCGCUUAAUGCGGGAUUCGCGCUAAGCACGCCUUUAGGUUUCUUCGUGAGUCUUCUUCGCACUAAGCUUGAGUUGACCGCUAAGCGAUGAGACGCACUUGACCUGUCUUGUGCGUUAAGAAAACUAUCUCAAUCUUCAAUUUUUUCUUCAAGAUUUUUUCUUCAUGUUUUUUCAUCAAUUUUCCUCCAAAGCACUUGUAAUUUUCCUUCUACUGAAUCAUGCGGGUCAAGAAUUAAAAUAAAAUAAAAACUCUCAUUAUUCCAUUAAAAACAACACUUUAUAACACAUGAAAAUUUAUAAAAAUUAGUAGUGACUCAAAAUACUUUGUUAGUAGGUUACAAAAAAUAAGAUGUCGUCAUGUACACUACUACUCCCAUGCACAGGGCGGAACCACGUUCAGGAUAAGGGGGGCAACCACCCCCUAUGAAUAAGAUGUGCUUAAUACAUGCACCGGAUAUAAUAUAUUUACCCCUCAAUUCCUCUCUCUCAUGCCUCCUAAGUUUCUUACCUCCCGCUCCCUCUUUUAAUGAUAUGUAGUUUAGGCUUUAACAUUAUACUAUAAGUUUAUCUAUAUAUUUAGAUGUUUGUUGGAAUAAAUAAGUAUUGCAUGUAUAUCAAGUAUUAACUUUUGAAGCAUUUUGAUAUGAGUUUGUUGUUGGAAACAGGGAUUUAUACUUACUAGUGAGAUAGAUGGAACCAUUCAAAUACAUAAACCAUCAAAUUAGUCCCUCAAAUAUUACUCUCGCCCCUAAUUACUUUAUGUUAAUUUAAAUAAUUAGUCUUUUACUUAUGCAAAUUUUUCACAAACAUUACCUUUCAUAUAAAACAAAACAAGACUGAAAAAGCAUACAAUGAUAUUGAUAUAUACCAUACCACAUAAAGCAUAAAAGCAAACAUUUUAAGAAGAAAAAGCUUUAGAUGGAAAACCUGUGGUGACGCGGUUGGACAACUACACAAAGCACAACGUCGUGUUCGGCUCUUAGGGUUUGUGUUUUUAUUAAGAGCUUUGCUAUAUCCUCCUAUAUCUAAGAGACCACUAAUGAAAAUCCACAUUCAAUCCAAAGCAAGGAACAUAAAAUAAAAUCACUGUACUAAUCAGACAGAGAGCAUAACAGCGCAAGAUCACUGAUUUCCUUCCGGCUUGUUCGCGCAAAAUGUAAAGAAAACCAUUAAAAGAAGAAGAGGAAGGAAGUCAUACCUGGUUACCUGAAGGAAGAAGAAGAGAAAGAUUCAAGGUCUGAAGUUAGGGUUGGGGGUAGGAUCGUAGGAUGCUGUUUGGUGAUAUAAUGCGGCUUUAGCUAAUUAGCUUUUCUCUCUAAAUGUGGCUUUAGCUUUUUUAAUGUAAAUGUAUAUAAUAAACUAUAUCUAAAUAAAAAUGUGUUUUUCCUCAAAUAUAUAUUUUACUUAUAUUCCAUAAUAAAUUAGUGUAAUGCGUAAAUUUUAAUUAUUCACUAUUCAAGGCGCGUGGGUACGGACCCUAUUCUUUCACGUGUGGACCCUAUUUAUGUUAUUUUUAUUUAUGUUAUUUUCAGUGGCGGGUCGGGGUCGGGGUCGGGGCGGAUAUAGAAAUCCUAUACCCGUACCCGACUUUUGGUCAUAGGGAAAAAUUCGAACUUGAACCCAUACCCGAUCAACUCGGGUAUUACCUGUCAAAGUCGGGUCGGAUACCCACGGGUACAGAUUUUCUUGCCAUGUCUAGUAAUUACACAAUAUUUUACAUUAAAUAUUAAUACAGUAUAAGUAAAUAAAUACUUAUAGUAAAUCAAAAGAUUUAAAAAAAUGAGAGAGUGAUAGAAAAAAAAAGAGAGAUAGAAAAGAGAAGGAUGCCUGAGGAGAGAGAGAGCAUAGAAAGGGGAGUAAGAAAGAUGAUGAGUUCAAAGAGAGAGAUAAAAGUGUGCAAAAUAAAAAAUAUAAGAAGAUUGAAAGAUUAAAAUGUCCUAUUUUUGGACAGGUGUCAAAGAUUUAAUAUAGAUCAAUAAAGUAGUUUUUAUUGUACAUUGUUUAAAUAUAUAACAAAUAAGACAGGGUAGUAGAUAAUUAAAUAAUAUAUUUUUUCUUUUUUAUAUAUUAAACAACUUUAAUUAUUUUUCUUUUUUAUCUAUCAAACAACUUUAAUUUAAAUAUUUUUCUUUUUUCUACUUUAUUUCUCUUCCAUCAAAUAACAUCUAUUUUUAUCUUAUUUCUCUUAUUUUCUUUUCUCACCUUCUACCUACUUCUCCUCCUUUUAUUUCUUCAUCCCAUCAAAUAUAGCCUUAAGUUUCAAUUGCACUCAUUAGGUUUCUCAAGUUUUCUCUAACUUACAAUUAGACACUUUCUCAAUUUAGGGUGAGUAAAAUGUAAAUACAAAAUACUCCUUGAGAUUGAAGACUUUUCUUACCUUGAACUUUUCCUCCUUUAUUUCUAAAACCCAAAAGAAAAAGAUAGACAUAAUAGUAAGUAAAUAUAAUGUAACAACUAAAGAAUACAUAAUAUUUGAAAAAAAUCCUAGAAAGAUGCAAUAACUGUACUGAUUUGAUUGUUGUAUUUACUAUGCCGAGUAAAUUAUUUUUAUGAUAGCAAUAAACAAAAAAAGUAUAUUUUUAAUAUAUUUUUAGACAUUAUUACAAUGACUCGAUUAAUUUUUAAUAAAACAAAAAAAUUAUUUUUAGUCAUUGUUACAGUUCUUUUAAUAUAUAUUUUUUGUUUUUUUCUGAAAUAUGUGGAUCAUUUGUUAUCAGCCCCUUCAAAUAUUUUUUAAAGAAAUUAAUAUAAAUAAAAUAAAAUAUUAUAAGGACUAAAAUAAAGAAUAAAUAUAUUAGAGUGACUUUUUUAUUUGAAUUAAAAGGAUCAAAACAAAAUAACAAAAAUAAAAAAUAAUUUUUAUUUUAUUAAAAACUCAACCCAAGAGAAGAAACUAUUAGGACCUAAAGAUUGCUACUGCAAUUUAUAUUUAAGCAUAAUAUAAAUGAAAAUAAUUUUAUCAUACUUUUUUUUUUCGAUCCCUGGUUUGGGAUUUCCUUUGUAAUCAAGCCAUUUCUUGAAGUAAAAAAAAAAUUAAAAAAUGAGAAGUAAUGCAUGUAAAUUUGGAACGUGCAAAUUAUAGGCUUUAGGUUCGUAAUGUAACGAAUCGUUCGUCGCGCUAAAAAGUGAAGCGACACGAGUCACCUCCCCAGGGACGCAACGCAACGAGAAAGCCCCAAGCAUCCGAAAACCGUUAUUGAGAUUUUAUUAUUCUCUUCUCUGAGAAACGGUCUUGGUUAGAUCGAUUUGAGAUCAGAUAGAAGAAAAUGGCGAAAUCGAGCGCCGACGAUGCGGAGCUACGGCGAGCUUGCGAGCAUGCCAUUGAAGGCACGAAGCACAAGGUCGUUCUCUCCAUUCGAACCGUCAAGACUCACGGCACUUGGGGAAAAACUGCUAAGCUUGGUCGUCAAAUGGCCAAGCCUAGGGUUCUCGCUCUCUGCAGUACGCAACCAACGCCCUAUUUCUCUCUCUCUCUCUUGAUGUAUCAUGUAUUUGUAGUACUGUUGGUGACAGCAUGUUAUAUAUUAUUUUGUGCAGCCAAAGCCAAAGUUCAGCGGACUAAAGCUUUUCUACGAGUUUUAAAGUAUUCCAACGGAGGAGUUCUUGAGGUAAUUAAUGUCCUCCACUGGAGGUUUUGGCAUAUUUCUAUUGGCUAUAAAAUAAAAUUUAUUGUGUUGCUGCAGCCUGCUAAGUUAUACAAGCUGAAGCACCUCUCAAAAAUGGAAGUUGCAACAAAUGAUCCCAGUGGAUGUACAUUUACACUGGUAAGUUUCUGGAACAGAAGCAAAUCAGGAUUCAACCAUUUCCUGCUAUGUAGCUUGUUUCUAUUUGCUGAUGAAUAUGUAUCUUAUAGGGGUUUGAUAACCUUAGAAGCCAGAGUGUGGCUCCUCCACAGUGGACAAUGCGCAAUGUCGAUGACAGGUUAUACCAUUAAAAUGUAUAAUCUAAGCAUGUAGAGUUUAAUCCUUUAUGGUUUUAUGUUAUGUAACGAAAGUGGAGUUUGGCUCACUGCAUCGUCUAUUACUUCUCUUGUAGAAAUCGCCUCCUGUUUGGUAUCUUAAAUAUCUGCAAAGAUAUCCUUGGUCGCCUGCCUAAGGUUGUUGGUAUUGAUGUUGUGGAGAUGGCUCUUUGGGCUAAGGUGCAUAAUGCUCUUCUAAUCACUUAAUUUCGAAGUUGCUUUACUGCCUUUACAAUCAAGCUGCAAUCAUCAUUUUGUAAUAGAUAAUUUUUUUUUUUGCUUUACAUGUUUAACUAAUAAUUACUCUGUAUUUAUCACUACGGAUAGAGUGUGACUACUGACUAAUCUCAUUAGUGAUCUUCAAGUCCUUGAUUUCAAGUUGAGGAUGUUAAACUUUGAUAAAUAGUUACUCACUCAGUCACUGAUUGCUGUUAAUUACUAUAGACUGUUGGUUCCCUGUUUAUUUAUUUCCACCAAUGUGAAAUAGGAAAAUACACCCGCAGUUUCCACUCAAAAUAACCAACAAGAUGGCACUUCUGUUGAAUCUACUGCGGCUGAAACAGAAUUGAAAGUCUAUGUUGAAAAGGAACUUGUCUCCCAGGCAGAGGAAGAGGACAUGGAGGCUCUUCUUGGAACGUAGGUGCUAUCAUUUUCUCUUAAAUUGUAUUGAGGUUAAAUAUUUGUGAUGAGUAAGAAUAUAAUUCAUGUCUUCUGUCUGCAAAGGGUUAUUGCAAUCUCAUAGAAAGUCCUGUUUCUUCCCUUACAAACUUUCUGUCCAUACUUUGUGAUUAAUAUUGGUACACGGGAAUCAUAAGUUAAUUAGCAGUACCAACAAGUGUGGCUUAAUUCGAAAACUGAGCUCUGUAUCACACUUUACCUGCAGUGCAGGGUUUCAAAAUCCACUAGAAGAACUUUUUGGCUAGAACUAAGUCAACACCCAGGCGGGAUUAGUUUCAUAAAUGAUAGAAUUUGAGAGAAAAUGUAAAACCAAUUUAAUCAUUGAUCAGAAUGAUUAAGCCAAGUCUUACAAUUCUGAACCUUCUCUCUAUAUAGAGAAGUCUGCAACUUAACUAUAGUCCAACUGUAAACUAACUAAAUCAGUUACUAACUAACUACAGUUAGUAACUGUCUAACAGAAAACUAGUUAGAAGAAAAAUAACUCUCUUGGAGUAAGAAUACUCUAAUAAUAAACAAAAGGUUGUGACAAUACUCGUGAUGUUUGCCCCCCAAAAAAGCACCAAGUACUGAACAUGACUGCGUUAAAAAGUUCAAAUGAAAAUAUUUAUUUACUUGUGUUAGUCGGAUACAAAGAUAAUUCAGCUAUUCUUUUAUGAAAAAUGCUUUUGUUAAAUGAUAUUUUCUUUUACAAUACAAGUAUGCAUAAUUAAAUUGUUGUAGAAGGAUGGACCUACUUGUGUCAAUGUGAGGGCACAUGUUCCUACUUAUUUCAAAUUUUUAAAAUAUUGUUAGUGUUAAAUUUUUAUUUUUGCCUCAUUAUUUUAACAUUGCCCCCAUCAUGUUAUUCUUUAUCAUACUUUUUUUCUAAUGUGAAGUAUGAGAUGUUAUCUUAUCCUCACUAUCCAAAAUUUCUGUUUACGUCACUUUGUGGUUUUUGAAUGUGCAGUUAUAUCAUGGGUAUUGGUGAAGCCGAGGCAUUUUCUGAAAGGUUAAAAAGAGAGCUCCAGGCUCUGGAAGCAGCAAAUGUGCAUGCCAUUUUAGAAAGUGAACCUCUGAUAGAUGAGGUAUAACUGUUCUUUGAGUUGAUUUCCUUUCUUUUGCUGGUAUUACCUUACUGUUUAUUUGUGUUACUGUAAACAGGCCCCUUGAUUCAUGUAUUACAUUGUGGCUUAAUUUUCUUCCCCUAAAUUAUAGACUGAACAAACCAUUUAUGUUUCUUGAGCUGUGAUUACAAUUAUUUGAGCGCCAAUACACUUUUGUUGCCUUCUUUAUCAGAUAAACCAUUUUGCUUGAUUUUAUCACCCUCUUAAAACUUCAAAACCUCAUGUUGAUAUUUUAAGCUAUUGUUUUAUCUCAUUAUUGUCAAUUCAACCAUUAGAGUUGUUGUGAUAAAAGGAAACAUCACUUCACUUUACAAAUCAUUGUGUUUCUCGUCAUUAGUUAUUUAAAAUUAUUUUAACAUGUUUUUAUGAAGUGGUUCAUACUAAUAAUCUGUGCCUGGCAGGUGUUGCAAGGGCUUGAAGCAGCAUCAAAUUGCGUGGAAGACAUGGAUGAAUGGUUAGGCAUGUUCAAUGUAAAGCUUCGACACAUGAGGGAAGAUAUUGAAUCAGUAAGUGCUUGUAGAGUUCAAGUUUGGAGCAUAAUUUGCUUUGCAAUUUACUUUGUGGUAUUUAUAGCAGUGUUUACUGGAACCCUAGUUCAUUAAGUUUAUUUUUUAGUUCAUUGGCUAAAGCAAAGUACUGCAUUUGCAUUAGUCUUUUUUUAAUAGUCCAACUUCUGUUUUUCUUUUUCUCCCUGUUAUGGCAUUGUAACUCAAAACAGUUAUUUAUUUGUUAUGUUAUAUUAAUAGCUUAUAUUAUCUAUUUAUUUAUUUUUCUUUCCUAAAUCAAUACAAAGAGUGAUGUGAAAAUGAAAGAGAUAAGUAGAAGGAGAAGCUGGCUUCUAUUUGGUGCAAAACUAGUGGUCUUUUUUCUGGGGGUUUCUCUUAGAAACACGCUGAGAGACUGGGUAGCUUUGCUUCAUUGAUAUUUUCCUUGUUUGUAUGGAGGACCCCUCAUCCUCCUGACCCUUUAUUAUCAUCUUCACUUUGACUUAAUGCAUUCCAAUGAACUUUUCUUAUUUUGUCUCGAUUCUUUUGUGGUAUCCAGAUUGAAACCCGCAAUAACAAGUUGGAAAUGCAAAAUGUGAAUAACAGAACUCUUAUUCAAGAGCUUGAUAAGCUUCUUGAGCAAUUGAGUAUCCCUUCUGAGGUAUGGCUUCAAGUGGUGAAUUCAGAUAGUUUGAGUUUGAUGAACUUUCAAUAGCUUGGUAUUUACUUUAAUGGUGUUUCAUUGGGCGUAGUAUUCAGCAUGUUUGACAGGAGAUUCAUUUGAUGAAGCACAAAUGCUGCAAAAUAUGGAAGCAUGUGAGUGGUUGACAACUGCCAUGCGUGGUCUUGAAGUGCCUAACAUAGAUCCUACUUAUGCAAAAAUGAGAGCAGUAUGGUUUGCCUUACUUUUCAAGCUGUUAAGCAAAUUGUUGAUAAUUUAGGAAACGUCAGUUCAUGGUACAUGCCUGCUUGUUUUUGUUAAUUUUAAAUAAAGAAAAUAGACUUCGGGUGCAAUUAUGAGUUGCAUUUAUUAGUUGCUUCCGUUUUGAUUGGUUUGAGAAGCUGCUUAUAUUCAACAUUAUGAAUUUGGGGCAUCACUAAGCAAAUUAAUAUUCUUGGUCACGGCCAGUAUGGAUAACAUGUAUAGGACCUAAAAGUCAUUUGUUUUAAUGGUGGUUUCUGGUCUUCCUACAGGUUAAAGAGAAGCGAGGAGAACUUCAAAUAAUAAAGUCUGUUUUUGUUGGGAAGGCUUCUGAAUACUUGAGAAGUUACUUCGCUAGUUUUGUGGAUUUCAUGUUAAAUGAUAAAAAUUACUUUUCUCAGGUAUUCUCUGCAUAAAUUUAUGAAUUAUAAACUUUUAAAGUGUUAGAAAUUAGAAUCAUUCAUUUUCACUUUGGUUGCUUACUCUAAACAGCGGGGACAGUUGAAAAGGCCAGAUCAUGCUGAUUUGAGGUACAAGUGCAGGACAUAUGCACGCCUUCUGAAGCAUUUAAAGGUUUAAUUAUGGAUGAUUUACAAUUUCUGCUUCGAGUUCAGUUUUGCGCAUAUAUAUAUAUAUAUAUAUAUAUAUAUAUUGAGUUAAUUUCUUUGUUUCCUCCCUUAAUUAUCUUUCCUCUAAACUUGCAGAUUCUUGAUAAGAAUUGCUUGGGUCCACUGAGAAAAGCUUAUUGCAGUUCUCUAAACUUGCUUCUUCGCAGGGAGGUAAGAGAUUACAACCUAUUCACCCACUGUAUUGGUAUUAUUUUUUUUAUUUCUUGGUCAUUUGGUGGUAAAAUUCUUGUUAUUACUUUAGCUUUUUAUGAACUGAGAAGUGGCCAUUAUAGUUGAAAUAAGGGGAAAACUGAAUUAUAUUUCUUGAUUAAAAAAAUACAAGCACUAAUGUGAUUAAAAAAAUAUAAGCAAUAAAAACAUGAUUUGAAAAUACAGGAAAUAAGUUUAUCAUAAUAAUUACAGGGAUAAUUACUGAUAUUAUUUUAUCUGAAAAUAAUGCUAAUUUACACAUUUACAACACUACCCUUGAAUAUCAAUCAAUCUCAGCUUGCAAGUAAGAUCUCAGGACGGCUUUGUGGGAAGCCCCUUGAUGAAUAAAUCUGCCAAUUGAACUCUUGAAGGAAUGUAGGUUGUAGUUAUUAGAACACAGAUUAAUUUCUCCUGGAUGAAGUAUUGGUCUAUCUUUAGUUUCCCAUUUUUGGGAUCUCCUCAUUACUUCCAAUAUUGUGAUUCUGCUCGAUGGGUAUUUCAGAUGUUUUACAACCCAAUUUACUAAUCUCUUUGAGAAGGUCAAGAACCUUCUUUGGGUGAUGAAGAUAACUUCUUUGAAUAGGAAACCAUGCACAUUAUUCCAAGAACGUUCUGACUCCCUGACUGUUUUCUGUAAUUAGGUUUGAUUGUGUAAUUAUUUUGGUUUCCUGCAUAGCUAGUAAUGAUUUUAUUUCCUGUAUAAUUAUUUUGUUUGUUUUUUAGUUUAGCCUAUUUUAGAUAAUUCAUUGGAUUUUAAACCGUGCAUUUUGAUUAAAUUAUAUUUAUAUAAAAAUACAUGUACAUUAAUAAAAUAAGUUUUUGAAAUAUUUAGUAGCAUAUUAAAUAUAAUUAUGUUGAGGAAGAUGAUUAAUUAUAUUUUUAAUUGAGAUGUUUCCUUAAAAAAAUAUCAAGUCUAUCAAAAUUUGUUUUUAUUUCUUCACGCUUCUAGUAAUAAUAGUGAUGUAAUAUCUACAUGAAAUAUAAAAUUAAAAAAAUAUAAUAAAUAUAUAUUUAUAACAAUUUAAAUUUGAGUAUUCAUUAUCAUUACUUUUAAUUAUUAUUGUUUGCAAAAUAUAUUUUAAUAACUAGACUUAAAAUAUGACCAGUAAUAUUUACUUCCAGCGGGAAAGGAUCAUCUUUUUUUUUUUUUUUUUUGGAGAUCCUGCAUUGACCAGACCAAAGUUGUCUAUAUAAGUGGGUGAUAUCCAUAAUUCUAAGGCUUUUGUUGAAUCACUUCUAGCUAACUAAAUUAUUUUCUUAAUCGCUAUCUUCUUUCCGUACAUCUCAACAACUAACUCAAAGACAUCAAUAAAGAACAAGAUCAUUUUACGUUAUUACUUAACUACUUGGAGAGAUAUGAUUUACAUAACUUUAAAUAUGUUGGAGUAAUUUUGAAAAUAAUUAAAUAACAUAUCCUUGAACUUGAUGUUGCGUCUUCUUUAUUAUGAUUUUUUUGGUCUUCGCUUAACGGAUGCUAUGACCUGCUACAAUUGACAAGUGAAAUUUUGUUAAUAUUAUUAUUAGGUUUAAUUAUCCAUUUAAUUUCUAUAAUUUUUAAACUUAUUUUUUAACCUCUAUAAUUAAUAAACGAAUGUUUUAGUCUCUAAAAUUUAAUAAAUGAAUUUUUUAGCCUAAGUUUAUAAUUUAAUUCUUAAAAAAAAUUUGUCGUUAAAUCUUUUUAACUCUAUUAAGAACUUUUUGAGAAUUAAAAUGUAAAUUUUAAAAAUAAAAAAUACACUUAUUAACUAUAAAAAUUAAAAGGGAUAAGUUUAAAAAUUAUAAAAACUAAAUGUGUAAUUAAACCUUCUUAUUAUUAUUAUUAUUAUUAUUAUUAUUUGGGUUCUUGUUCAUAUAUUCUUGUUUGUUAUGCUUUGGUAAAAUAGUGUGCAUAUGGAGUCUAAAGUUUUAGGAAUCCCUUUACAGGCCCGCGAGUUUGCUAAUGAACUUCGUGCUAGUGCUAAAACUUCCAAAACCCCAACUGUUUGGGAAGGCUUCAUGGGUUCUGGUCAAAAUGUAAAUUCUGCUGACACUGCAGCAGUUUCUGAAGCGUAUGCAAAGAUACUCACAAUUUUUAUCCCACUUCUGGUGGAUGAGGUGAAAGUUCUUGAUAUUCUCAGUCCCGGAACUUGUUAAUAUUUAAUGUUUCAAAUGUGUAACUAUUCAUGGCCUAUGUUUCAGAGCUCAUUUUUUGCACACUUCAUGUGCUUUGAAGUUCCCUCACUUGUUGAUGGUAAUAAAACUGGACACAAUGACCAGAAAAAUGAUGAUGAUUUGGGAAUUAUGGACAUUGAUGAGAAUGACAGUAAAUCUGGUACAUGUAUCACUUUCAAGAAAUAUUCUUUUUUUACUUUUAACUUUAUAUUUAAACUCCUAUGGUUUUAUUUUUCUAUGGUGAGAUCAAUUGUUCCAUAAUUUGAGCAUUUCUUCAUCUUUACAGGUAAAAAUUCUGUGGAUUUUGCAGCUUUAAAUGAAUCACUUCAGGAUUUGCUUGAUGGAAUUCAAGUAUGCAUAUAGUAAACUCUAUAUCUCUUAUAAUGAAAUUUUUAGCUUAUGAUAUUUUUUGAAAUGAAUUGAUCUAGGUCCUCUCAUGUUGUCACUUUAGUUGUGGUUACUCGUAGCCCACCUUAAGUGUGGCAGGUAGCCAUAUGCAUAAAGAAAUGUGUUGGAGAUCUCACAUCAACUAGUGAUAUGACCAAUAUAAGUGGGAAACAACACUCACCUUAAAAGUCAAUUUUGUAGGUUUGAGUUAGGCCUAAUCUUAUAUUCUAAGAUGGUAUUAGAAUAUAUCCUAAAUUCAUUGGUGGGAGACCUGCAUUUGCCACGCUCCUGGAGGGUAGCCUUGAGUGUGAGGAUGAGGGAGAGUGCUGAAAAGCCUCCUUAUCUUAAGUUGUGGCGAAUAGCGAUGGUCAUAAAGGAGAUGUGUUGGAGAUUUCACAUUGACUAGUUAAUGGCCAAAAUAGAGUAUACAAGUGGGGUGUAACUCUCACUUACAAGUCAAUUUUGUAGAGUUGGAUUAGGCCCAAACUCAUAUUGCAAGAUGUUCUUUUGUAAUAAAAAUUUAACUGUCUUGUUCUGUAUGUUGUUUCUCUCUUAGCAUAGUUGUUAAUAUCAUGCCAGAGGAUCCAAAUUAAAGAUAAAGUGGUAGAGCUUUUAUGAAUUCUCCGUAGCAAUAGAGUAUUGAGGGUUAGUCAUUUUAGUCCUUGAAAGAAAGAAAUUGCUCUCAAGGUUAUUGAAUAUUUAAUAAUCCUUGUGAUAAGUGAUGUGAGUUAACACUAAUCGAAAUGCUGCUUGUGGGCUGUGGCACUGAAACAUAAGAUGUAUGGAGGAAAAUGGAUGGUAGAAGAAGAUGACUAUCUUUCAAGGACCUAAAAGAUGUCACAUGUGCAUCUUGUGUGACACUUAAUGUACCGCAUCAGCAUUUUUGUUAGCGUUAACUGACAUCAGUUAACAUAGGGACUAAAAUGACCAAUGGAUGGAAGACUAAACGAUCUCAGGAGCACUUAUUUUCUUUCAGGACAAAAAUGUUUAACGCCCAAUUUUUCAGGGACCAAAACAAUGAUUCACUCACUUGCAGCAUUGUAUAUUUUAUCUCAUGUAAGCUGAACAUAGCAUAAUCAUGUUAUGGUCUAGCAAUGAUAAACGUAUUUUUCCUUAUAAUUUGACAAUUUGUAACGAGUUUCCAGAUGGAUUUUGGUAUGUUAAUAGAUUUGCUGCUAUAAAGUUGCUUUAUAAUUUCUCUGAUUUCAGGAAGACUUCGCUGCUGUUGUGGAUUGGGCACACAAAAUUGAUCCUUUAUGCUGCAUAUCAAUGCAUGGAACUACAGAACGCUAUCUCUCUGGUCAGAAAGCUGAUGCAGCAGGAUUUGUACGCAUUUUGCUUGGUGAUCUAGAGUCUCGCAUAUCUAUGCAGUUCAGCCGUGUAUGUGACUAGUUUUAUAAAUAAUUCCCACUUGCAUUUAGAAGAUUGAGAUGCUAACCCAAUUCAUAUAAUUGGAUAUCUUUUUUCAGUUUGUGGAUGAAGCUUGCCAUCAGAUUGAAAGAAGUGAGCGCAAUGCUCGCCAAACGGGUGUCCUACCGUACAUUCCUAGGUAAGAUGAUCCUUGGAGUUUACUUUUUGCCUCUUUUCUCCAAAGAAAAUCGGGAUUUUUUUUCCCCAGAAUGAAAGCUUUAUCUGCUGGUCCUUUAUCAUUUUUUCAUGUUCAUUAGGGUUUUAAUUAGUUGCAGUUUUAUAUUAUCUUGAUGAGGGUUGUAUAUCCCGAUCUACGGAAAUUAUUUGUUUUUCUUUUAUUCCAUGUUAGAAUAUAUUAUUAGUAGUAUAACUGUCACUGUCAGAUAGUUGUAUUCUGUUACAAUUCAAUUAUAUUCAGAUUUGUGUAGCACUCUUGAGCUGUAAAUCGGUUAGCUGAUCUAACUAACUUCAGCAGUCUUUAAAUAGGGAUCCUCUGUACGUUUCAGAUAUACUAAAAAAAAAAUUCUCAGUUUCUCUCUUUUCUCUCUCUCACGUACCUUUCUAAGAUUCCAUUUUUAGGAAAUUAUUUAUAUUUCAUUUAUUCCACUAAGGUCCACAAUGGUUUUCUAUGGAAUUGUGGAUCUUUUUAUUAGUUUUUAUUUGUGGUGUACAAUUCUGGGGAAUGUGUGUAGUGGUUAUAAUAUCUACAAUAAACAAAAAGGUAUAGUAUUUUUUAGUUGGACAUUUCCUAGAAAAGAUCAUGUACAUUUUCCACUCUUUUGAGCCAGCUAUACAGACUUCAGAUUGUUGAACAUGUGUUGAAGAUCUCACAUCGACUAGUAAUGGAAUCAAAAUAAUAUAUAUAAGUGGGGACAAUCCUUAUCUUACUAGUCGGUUUUAUAAGAUUUAGUUAGAUUCAUAAAUGUAAUGAAAGGAUCUUAACACCAUUGUGUAAUGUUAUUAAGGAUUGUCACGGUGAAUUGGUAUUGUUUGCUAGCCAGUUUUUAUGAACCACAUUAAGUUGAGUUAGGUUCCUUUGGGUUCUGUAAAUUGCAUGAUGUUUCAAAGAAAUUACUUGCGCUUUUAAGGACAAAAUUUGAAGAUGUAAAAGUGGCUCCUAUUCUAUUUGGUGUCCGUUUUUAUGCACAACAGUUAAAUGACAGAGCCACCUCACUAUUUAGUUUCCAGUCUGUAUAUAAUAUCUUAAGUUUAUCUUCAUAUCUGGUGUUCAGUAAUGCCUUGAUUGUUUGCAUAUAGAUUUGCAUCCCUUGCAACACGGAUGGAGCAGUAUGUUGCAGGACAGUCGAGGGAUUUGGUUGACCAAGCAUACACAAAAUUUGUAAGUGGCUCCUUUUUAGAACUGUUUUGUUUUGUGACGUCUCAUCCCAUAUUUGUGUGGCUGUCUCUAAAUGCAUACUACUUGUAAAACAUCAUUUGUCAAGGCUGUGUGUAGCAAUUAACAUCUCUGUCCUUCGAAGUCUCCUUGUGUUGCUUCAUUUGAGCUAUGGUUGGAUUAGUUCUCAAUGGUGGAACAUCCUUGCCUUGAUCUACAUACUCCCAUUCCCAUAAGCCAAAGGACUUCAAGCAUGAUCUGAUUUUAACAACCUAUAUGUGAUAAUUUUCCCCAGAAUAUUGAGGAACAGGAAAGGCAUUGCUUCUUGAAGCCACAGCCUAUAAGAACACAGAUCCAGAUACCACUGUUAAAGGAACACAGCCUAAACCAUAAUUAGAGACUCAUGACAAUGAGAAAAGCAUGAAAAGAGACAGCAAUUUUCGUUUCUGCUGCUAAAACCAUAGUGUACAAUCAUUCAUACCUACUCAACAAAAGGAAAUCACACCCAUACAUGUUGUCAGCAAAAGGAAAUGUACCCACAGUCAGUAGGUGUACAAAUUUCCAGAAUAAAGUCAUACCUACUCAACAAAACAUUACCAACUAAAGUAAGCAAACAUAUUACAUCAGUAUAGAAGUAUUUUAGAAAAGUUUUACAGGUUUAACAUUACCUAUUCCCUGGCUUGACAGCCAAUAGACAAUGAUACAUCCCUAGUGAAUGAAGAAUUGAGUCUUAAGUCAUCAGCACUUUGUUGAUAGAUAGUGAUACUACAGGUGAUUUCAAUUGUUUACUGCCUAGCCCUAUUGUAUGCAUUCCAAGUACUAUUAAAUUGCCUUUUUCAUAUUUCAUCUUUUUUCUGUCACUUUUUCCUGGCAUAUUGUUUAUUGGUGGGAUUAUUGCUUGACAGGUUAGCAUAAUGUUUGUAACUUUGGAAAAAAAUGCACAAACAGAUCCCAAGUAUGCAGACAUUUUUCUUAUUGAAAACUAUGCCGCAUUUCAGAAUAGGUAAUGUUUACGCAUCACCCUGCCAAAUGGAGGCUCGAGGCUGUUUCAAUUCUUCCAUUUUUUUUAGGUAAUUCUUUAUACACAGACAAAGAUAUUUUUCACUUAUUAUUUUGUUCUUUUUGCUCAGUUUGUAUGACCUUGCAAAUGUCGUUCCCACUUUGGCGAAGUUUUAUCAUCAGGCUAGUGAAGCCUACGAGCAAGCUUGCACACGCCAUAUUAGUGUGAUUAUCUACUAUGUAAGUAUUUUAUUCUCUAUUUUAUGUCUUUUUGCCAACCAUACUUGAAUUUAUAGCCUGUAAGACGUAACUCAUUAUCCCUCUCUGCCUUGGAAAGCAAUUUGAACGCCUUUUCCAGUUUGCUCGAAAGAUUGAGGACUUGAUAUUGAAUAAUGUUGCACCUGAAGAGGUUUGUUUCUGUAUAAUUCAGUUUGUUAAUCUUCAUAUACACUCAUGCUGUACAGCAUCUCAAUAUAUUUGGAUUUAUUUUAUCAAACAAUUGAUUGCAACGUUUCUCCUACAUUGAUUGAACUAAACAUUGUAGAUCUAGUUUAAAAUUCCAUUCUAGGCAUCAUGUAUAAUAAAUUAUGAGAAACUAAAUAGAUUGUUAUACUAAUAUUUGGGAUUUCCCUCCCCAGUAUUAACAACGAAAAACAGACUUAAUUAUCAAAAUGUAUAUACUUGUAUUGCGGUAUUCAUUUUGAUUCAUGUAAACAUAGAACAUUAAUGUAAAGACCUAAAAUUAUUUAAAUCAUAUUUGAGAUCAAUUAAAUGUUACAAGAUAAAGUAGUGUUGAUUAACAAUAUUAUCUAUCAAGAGUAAAUUGUUAGCAUUAUUUUAUUAUAUAAUAUUGAUAAUUUUGUAGUUAAGAUUGACUUGUGGUGAAAGAAGGAAGAAGAGAAAGAUCAUGGGUUGAAAUUCUCUCAUUACCAAAAACUAACAUACUAACAUGUGAUAAAAAAAAAGAAAGCUAAAAAAUGAAAAUUAUUAAGUUAAAUUUGGUUAUGAACAUAAAUUUUGCGUAAGGCCUGGAAUUUCUAAGCAUAACCAUGAGGAUUACUCAAAAUUUUACUCAAAAUUUUAAGGACUAUUUUUCCCUUAUAAGUAACUAAUUUGGGACGUUUUAAAAUUGUUUUCAAACAGUACUAAAAGAUUGAUUUGUGCUUUUGCAUGUCACAAUUGUCUAAUAUUCUACAUCAAUUUCAGAUUCCUUUCCAAGUUGGGCUGUCAAAAGCAGAUCUACGGAAGACGUUAAAAUCCAGUUUAUCCGGGGUAAGGUGAUGCCUAUCUUUUCUGAAAAUACUUUCGUAAGUGCCAUGCUUACAUUGUGAAUUGUCUUUGCUUUAUAGGUGGACAAGUCCAUUGCUGCGAUGUAUAAGAAGUUGCAUAAAAACUUGACUUCGGAGGAACUCUUACCUUCCUUGUGGAAUAAAUGCAAGGUAUGCUCUUCUUACUUCCAAUUGACCCAAAAAAGAAUGAACCGACAAUCAUAUGGUAAAUAUUUCUGAGGCCAUACUUCAAGGGUCUUGUGAUUGCUUUGGCAGUUUGGCUGAGAGCAUGACUACUGAAAUUCCACAAACUCUGAAAAUGAGCAUAAGAAAUACAAUAAAGAAUAUUUUUGUAUUGAAUGCGGCUUCUAACUGCUUCAUCCUCAACAUAUUUAAGUAUUGUCAAUUACUAUAGGCACUUUAGUAACUUAUAAGUUACUUUGACUAGCUUAUAAGCUAAGAAUGUCUGCUAUAUCUAAGUAAAAAUGCGUGUGACAAAUUCUGAUUGUUGUUUCCACAAUUUUUACAGAAUGAUUUUCUUGAUAAGUACGAAACCUUUGUCCAACUUGUCGCGAGGAUUUACCCUGCUGAAUCAGUCCCUUCUGUAGCAGAGUUGCGAGACCUUUUAGCUUCCAUGUAAAGGUUUAUACACAUGCCUUCUUUCCAUUUUUUUGGCCUGUAAUCAUUCUUUUUACGACGUAAUUUGAUUUACUUUAUGAAGUGCAUUUUUGUGGUUUUAAUUACUUGAAACAAGCAUUAUAAUGCUUCAUAGAAAGAAUGUGAUGAAUUUCUUAGCUCAGGUUUAAUUUUAAUAUUUUGCUUACUAUUUGAUAGUGAUUCUUUAUGUAUUUGUUUAGAAUUUAAUUAGAGUUCACUUUUAAUCAUAAAUUGUAUAAUUUUUAAAGGUUAUUUUAAUCUUUUGUAAUAAUUAGUUUAUAAUUUUUAGAUAAUGGACAGUGUAGUAUAUCAAAACUAAACCAAUUCAUUAUGGUCAGCAGUUGAAAGUGUGAUACUUUCUAACUGUAUCUUGUGUAGUUGAGUACCAAGAAAUGGAAGGAACCAAUAGUGGGUUAUUUAAAUGAAUUGGAUGAGUACGAGAAGGAAAAGAAAUUAAACCAACUGAGCGGAUAAGCAAACCUUGUCUAUUACUGAGAAAAAAACAUGUUCUUGAUUGCUCAUUGGAGCUUCAUGAGUCUAAUUUUGUGGAAUCGCAAUCACGGGACGAGAAGCACCAGAAUCAAUAUACCAACUUUCAGACCGUUGUUGAGAAGUCUAAAAAAUGAAGGUUUGCAGAGUUGGGAAAAGACUUGAAAAUGUGGAGGAUGGAGCACAACUAGUCAUGUGAACUAGAUGUGAAGGAGGGAGGCAUUACAGAGUGUUGCUACGACUACGAGGAUUGAGGGGUCUAUGGAGAGUGUAUGCAGGGAUGAACCAAGGAUCAACUCUAUAGCUUAACCAUCUACCCUAAAAAAAUCAAACCCUAUAAUUCUUUAUCAACUUCCAUACAAAAAAAAUAAAAAUAGGUUUGUAUGUUUUUCUUUUUGUCACAUCAAAUUUAUCAUUAUCUCUACAGGAGUGCUUAACAACUUAUCACUUGUACAAGCUUCAACAUUCUUCUAUUAGCAUGUUUUGCGUCUUACGCCACCAAUUUCAAAAGUACUCUCUCAAUUGCCAACUUUUAAUAAAGAACAGUUUCCAACUUAUAUUAAAGAAUAAAAUCUCAAAGGAUAGGAUUCGUAUGCAUCCAAUAUAAAGAGAUACUCUUAAUUUGUAAUCACUACAUGUGUAUUUAAAGUUAUUUUUCAGUAUAAUUUAUACUGAAUUAGAAAAAUAUUAAAUUGAACCGAACUAAAUUGUUAUUUAAACUGAAUUAGAAAAAUAUUAAAUCACUACAAGUGUAUUUAAUAAAAAAAUAUUUUUAAAAUAAUAUAACAUAAUAGUUAUUUAAGUUUAAUUUAUAAAUUUUAAAUUAUGAGAAUAAAUUAGAAAAAUAUUAAAUUGAACCGAAUUAAAUCGUAAAAAAUUGAUUUUGUUUGAUUUAAAUUUAAUAUUAUAUUUAAACCGAAUUAUAUUUUUAUUUUAUGCUUGGUUGAUAUGGUUUUUUGUUUAAAAAUUGAACGGACUGCAAACAUGAAAAAAACAAAAAAAAAAAACCGUGUGAUAAAAUGAAAUGAAACAUAUUUAAGACGAGAAGAAAUAGAAGAGUGAGAUGUGAAACUAGAAUGGAGGCGGCGACAAAUCAGAAACAUUAAUCCCUCCGAAGUUUUCCGACUUAAGCAUGAUUUUGUUGGGUUCAUAUUCUUUGACUUCAAUUCCCUCAUCUCCUAUAUCUCUCCGCCCCCACUCCUCUGUUGCCCAUGGAAGAAUGGUGCAGUGUUCGCGCAGAUGCGAGCUUUUCGAUCUGCAUCAGGAACUGAUCCCUUAUGACGUGGCAUGGUCUUGGCAAAAAGACAUCGUCAGGGAAAAGAAAUCACAGAUUGAGAACGAAGGAGAUUGCAGCGACACACUUAUUAUUCUGCAACACCCUUCUGUUUACACAUUGGGUACCGCUAGUACACACCACAACCUCAACUUUGACAUCGAAAAUCCACCCUUUCCUAUUUAUCGCACUGAACGCGGCGGAGAAGUUACGUUCCACGGCCCUGGCCAGGUCCUUCUUCCUCUUGUCAUUUUUUCUUCCUUUUAUCGUAUGAUAUUAUUAUCCUUCUUGUUUUUUACUUUGGAGUUUGGAUUAAUGUAUUUUGAUUUUGCACUGCAGCUAAUUAUGUACCCUAUUAUCAACCUCCGAAGACACAAGAUGGAUCUUCAUUGGUACCUCCGGACCCUUGAGGAGGUCGUUAUUCGUGCUCUUUCUUCAACAUUUUCAAUUCAGGCUUCUCGGGUAGAAGGUUUAACUGGUGUUUGGGUUGGUAAGUCUCAAUUAUCUUAUCUUUGUUGCCAUCUACAUCAACAAUUUGUAAAUUUGGUGUCAGAUAUUUAGCUUGAUUCAUAUGUUUAUUGAAUAGUUUGGAUUACCGUGUGUCUUUGGUAUCGGUCAAUCUCUACCCAACAACACAUAGUCAAGUUUUAUGAACUCUUUAUCAUAAAUUGAAAAAUGUGGUUACAUAUUACGUGGUAAUUGACCGGUUCUUCAGACUAUACAAUAUUUUUUCCUAGAGGUGAGUAUGAGACUAUCACCAAACCACAACUUUUUAAGUUUGCACUAUCAGUAGCCAGACAAUGAGAUUGCUGAACUUAUUCAAGUUGUGUUUUUGAGUUUGUCAUGAUUUGAGAAAUGUUGAAACAAAUCCAACUUCAUUCAUUUUUUUUUUCUUAUUCUUCAUUGUUAUUUAUUAUUCCAGGAAACCAGAAACUGGCAGCUUUAGGUAUACGAGUGGCUCAUUGGAUAACCUAUCAUGGCUUAGCGCUGAAUGUCACAACGGAUUUGAGCCCCUUUAAAUGGGUCAUCCCAUGCGGAAUACGUGACCGUCAAGUGGGGAGUAUAAAGGGCUUGCUUAAAGAAGCUCAAUCAUGUAUUGCUCAUGGAACAUCUGUUUUGCACGAUUUGGAUGAUACCAGUCUUAUUCAUAUUACUUACAGGUCCUUGAUUGAAGAGUUCUCACGAGCGUUUCAGCUUGAGUACCAUUAUAAAACUAUUUCUGUACCUGUUUUGUGUAAAAGGAAACCUAGCUGUUUUUCAAAAGAAACGCAGCAAAGUUGAAUUUGUUUGAUGCAACAUGGUAGCCCACUAGUCCCUUGAUUACUGUAUACUAUUAUGCACCAGAAUACCAAUUGCUUGCAAAAAAUAGCUAGCUGAUAACAUUAUAAACAAUUUUUCUCCACUUUUCAAACGAAAAUUGGGGGAAACAACCAAGUGACAUUUUCAAAACAGAAUGAAUGAACUCCCAUUUUGCUUUGGCCGUAGUCCUUUCAAAUUCAGGUCUUGCAAAGAUUACAACCUUAGGGAAUGUUUGAUUUGACUGUAUUUUGUUUUCAUUUUAAUGGAAAUAAAGAAUGAUAAUGAAAAAUGCGUUUGGUUAAAUUUUUAAAAACAUUUUCAGUGAAAAUAUUUUUCCUAACGAACCAAAAACUAAAAAUAAUGAAAUCUCGUUUUCAGUGUUUUCAGUUGAAACCAAAAAUCUCAUUUUGGGUAAAAUGAAAAUGUGAUAAAGAAUGUAAUUUUAAACAAAUCUAAAAAUACAUUUUCUUUUGAAAACACAUUUUCAGUAUUUUUAUUUCUUGAAAGUAGAAAAUAAGAAAUCAAAUCAAACAUGUUUUCAAAAUUUUAAUCUUUUGAAAAUGAAAACAAUUUUCAGAAAAUGAAAAUAAAAAAUGAAAAUGCAAACCAAACAUACCCUUAAUUUUCUUAGUAAAUAAGGGCAUUACAUUUAAGAAAUAAAAAAUGAAAGAGAUGGGGCAACAAUUUUUUUAAUGAAAAGCCUGCAUUGAAGUUAAUCAACUAAUAGUGCCCGUGCCUUACAGAUAAAAAUGUUACGCAAAUAUAUACAACACUCUUCCCUAAUUCACGCUAAACUCAGUAAUGAUCUGCUACAGGUCUAGAAGGGAAUAGCCUCAAAAGAAAUGUCAUCAAUGACCAAAGGCACACAAUCCCCAGUACUUGGAAGGUGAUUAACAUUGCGAACAAAGCUCCACUUCGUUCUACCAAUUCAGGGCCCGCAGGAAGCCCCUUCAUAGAGAAUAACAACUUCUCGGCAAAAUUAGCAGCUUUUGUAAGCUGAUAUAGUCUGUAUACCUAGCAAAACAAUUUAGAAUAUUACAAACUAAUUACAGGUAAAGCCAAAUUACAGUUACACCCCUGCCAUCUGUUGACAGAAGAGUCAAGCUGCAUCGAAUCUUAAAUCAAUCUAAAAUCAAACAAAUAGACAAACCUCAAAUAUAACCGGGACUAGAGGCCAGCAAGAUGACCCACGAUUGUCCAAAGCUUUCUCAAAUGCAAUUUGUGCAACACAGCCAACUAAAAAUGGAGUUAUAGCAACAAAUGCUGCAAUGCGAAUUGCUGACCAUGUCACAAACAAAAGAAUGAGAGGAGCAAUAAUCUUCAAACCCAUGGUGAAGAAAGCAGAGAAUAGGUAUCCUCUGAGGCCAGUAAUAAGACCCCAUCUUUUUGAGCUGUACUGCAAAUACGGCCUCUGGACACAAUCAGUCACAUGCAAGAAUGUCGCUAGUCCAAUGUAGAACAGGACCUCGUGAGAGAAUAUAGUCACAAUAUCUGCAUUUUAUUGGUAAUAGAAAUGUGCAUAAGAGAUGCUAGUAUAAGGCUCUUACAAAAUCAAAGCUAUGAAAAUUACAGAACUCCAUUCAGACAUCCAAACUAAUUUUAAUAGCAAAUUCAACUUCUUUGUCCAAAGACAUAGCUCAGCAGUACACUGUCUAACAGAACGCUAUGGAAACACAAUUUUACCAAAAUAACUAAAAGUUAUACAAGCAACAAAGGGUUCAAUUCAAUCUUCAAUAUGUGCUAGUGAGAAUUCUACCAACAGGUAAGUGAACUAAUUAUUUUUACUUAAGCCUACAUCCACACCACCAAUAACCUCCAGAAAUACAGCAAAAUGCAAGGGGAAUGCAAUAGCAUGAGACAUUGUCAUUUUUUCAACAUCUUUUGUGCUUUUGUCUAAGAAUUUCUUUUCACAUAAAAUGUCAGAGUUCUUUGACAUUGUUCUUCCCCGUAUGUUUGGUUUGAGAUUGGUAGGAUAAUCAGUGAGGGUUAGGUUCUCGAUUUUCCCAGUACAUAGACAGACAAAUACUAGAUACGUAAUAAUUUCUGUACCUAAUCAGAGGACUGCAUUGGAAGUGAGACUGCUGACCACUAGGUUCUCGAUUUUCCCAGUACAUAGACAGACAAAUACUAGAUACGUAAUAAUUUCUGUACAUAAUCAGAGGACUGCAUUGGAAGUGAGACCGCUGACCACUUGAAAGAAAUUGUAUAAAUUUAAUUAAGGUUUUGAUAAAAAAAAAUAAUGAGAUGAUUUUGAAAUUUGGAUAUCACUCUGCGACUUAUAUUGAGCGAAUAACUAAUUUGGUAUUAACAGCAGCAAGAAAUCUUAACAAUGUAGCAUAAUGCAGACAAAAUAGAGGGGUGGCAUCACAUUUAAUUAUGAACACAACUACACUCAUCCUAUGUUUUGGUAGUUUUUUCAAAGUUUGACUUUCUGCAACACAUACAACUACCAUCCAAUUUCAAGAACAUAAGGGACAAAAUUCAAAGACAGUAAGAGAAAGCACAAAGUUGUAUCCAUUCCAUACCUAUUAAAAUCACAUUAUUAAGGAAAGCUUCAACCACAUUGUCAACAAAAAACUGUGGCAAAAUCAAAGACGCUAUGAACGCAGCAGGAGCUAAGACCCAUAAGAAAGAGCCACCCUUUCCUUCAAAGGGGGAAGAUUCCAAUUUCCCUUCUUCUACAGAUUGGUGUGUCAGGCCACAAAAAGAGACGGAACCUGAUUUACCAUGAAACGGUUCCGCCCCGUUAAAUGUAGUAACGGGCACACUAGAACUUUGUUUUGGAUGAACUUCCAAGCCACCGUUUAAAUUGGAAUCAGAAGAAUGUACAAGAAGCCUCUGGAAUUUGCUCAAUCCCAAAAGUGAAGGCUCUUUAAUCACCCAUUUUAAACCUGUAAUAAAAAAAAAUCAAUUUGUUGAAUUUUCUGGUGUAAACAGAGACCCAAUAUACAAACAACAAAUUCAAUUUUGUGGUGUAAUUCUGAACCGGAAAAUGCAGCACCCAUACAUUUUGAGGCGUUUCCGAAGUGAAAUCUUUGUCUUUGAUUUGUGAAUGGAGCGCGGAUUCCAAACGCUGGUGACUGCGAAUAAACAUUAACGAAUAGGUGAAUAGUAUUCGAGAAUAGCAGAGAAGAGUUAGAAUGGUAACAUAGAAAAAUUGAUUCGGAGGUGUGGGUUAAGGUUUACUCACUGAUAGAAUACGAUGAUUGGAAGAGUGAAGUGGUUGAGAGGGAAGAGCGCAACAAAGGGUCUGAAGUUCCAUCACUCACUUUUUAGGGUUUUAGAACUAUGAGCUUACCCCCCUGCUUCUAAAACCCCUUGUGAGAGUAAUUUUACAUAAUUUUUUAUUCUUUAAUUCUUUUUUAAUAACUAGAAAUCCUCUACGUAGUUAAUACUACUAGUAUAAGCUAAAUCUGCACGUAGUGCAUUACAGAUAAAAUCUGGUACUACCUCAAACAUAAAAAAAUUAUCCAAUAAUUACAUUCCAUGCUUAACUAAAUUAUCAGCAACUUAGUUAGCUUCAUGUAAAACAUGAACCCAAAUAAUGUCUUUGGUGUUGAUGGAUAUUAUAGAUAAUUUGUACCAAACUAUAAUAAGGAUGCGAAAAACAACAUCAUUUAAUCAUCUAGCUUAAUGCUACUUGAGAAUUAGAAUAUAUUUUAGGAUAAAACAUGUUUGUCAUUUUAAUAAAUAUUUGAAUUUUGUAUUUGUUUUUUAUUAAAAACAUUUUUUUUUAUUUUCUGAUAAAAUAAAAUUUUAUUUUUUAUACUUGACAUAUUUUCUUAGUGUUUAAUAAUUAAUAUAUUUUAUGGCAAUUCUUGAUAAUUUUUUUCAUUUGUUAUUGAUCUCUUUGAAAAAAAUUAAUAACAUAUUUUUUUAUUAGUGAGUAAAUAUAAAAUUUGUUAAUUUAUCAUGAAUUAAAAAAAGUAUUAAGGAUUAAAAAUAAAAAUUAUUAUUUUAUUAGAAACUUGAUUAAAAAAAUUUCUUUUAUAGAAAGUAAACACAAAAUUCAAAUUAUUUAUUAGAGAUGAAAAUAUAUUUUAGUUUAUAUUUUAAUACAACGGAAACCUAUUUUUCAGGUUAAUUUCAAACUAUAAAAAAAAAAAUACUCUACAACUAUUUUAUAUUCACGUACUAUCAAAGUUUGGUAUCUAGUAUUUAGUACUCAAAUUAAUGGGUUUGCAUUGUGUAAACUAUUUUAUAUUCACAUUUUAAUAAAAUUUAGCUAUUUUAGUUUUUUUUAAUCAUCAUUAAUUAUAUUUUUAUCACUCAUACUAAAUUAUAAAUUUAACUGAAUUAAAGGUGGUCAUAAUAUCAACACUUAAUUGAUAUUAAAGUCAAAUGUGACAACAAUUUUUAUAACUUCUUCUUUGAAAAGGAGGUGAUCUUCAAUACAAUUACUUUGUUAUGACAUUACUCCAAUCAUUAACCGUGCCUUCAACAUCCUCUAUUGCAAUUCAAGUGUGAUGGGCAGUGUGUACAAGAUUAGAAAACGCAUUCAUCUUUAUAUAUAUAUAUAUAUUUUUUUUUUUUAUUCAUUUACCUUUGUAUGGUUCAUGAAUGAUUACUGGUGAUUUUAAUUUUAUGCAAGUAAUUAGUUACAACCUACUAUAUGAACUAAGGACUAGUUUUUGGAGUUAGUCCAUCCCUGCAAGAUUGCGAUCCUUUGUCCCAAUAUAGCACUACAUAACUUUUAGAACAUAAGUGACAUAAGAUGACUCGAUGUUAUUCGUACUUUUCUUUCCCUUAUCAUUGACCGUUUGCUAAGAUACCAAACUCAAUGUUUGAAGGCACCCUUCUCUUUCAAGAGGGUUUGCUACACAUCAAGUCCUAGCAAGGUUUUACACUUUGCAUUGAAAUAAAUCGUAUGUUCCAAUGCUUGUGUGGGCUUUCAUCAAUUCCUUUGAAUUUCAUUCUUGCAAAUGUAUUCCCAAGCGGGAUAUUUAUUAAUGGUGAAUUUUUUAAUAUUUAAUUUUAUUUAGUCAGCAAGGAAUUACGUUUUUUAGAGAGAAAACAAGGGAUUGCUAUGUACUAAAACUUUCGUGUAAGGAGUAUUGUUAAAAAUUAUAUGUUUUUUUGGUUCUUUCGACAAAGUUAAAAAUUAGAUGUUUGGUUAUUAAAAGUUUGAACACUUGUAUAUUUUUGGUAAAAAAGUUUGAACAGUCUUUUUUCCAACUACUUAAAUGGUUGUUUGCACGAAAAGUUUUUCAAACUUGCUAAUUUUCAGAAACAGCAUUACUUUUAUCACCUUUUCGAGGCUAGGUCAAACAAUUUAAUUUUCAUUCUUAUGUUUUCUUUUAUACUAUCUUCGAUAGACUUUUCCAAAAAAAAUCCAUUACUUUAUAUGCUUAAAAUCAAUCAUAAUUUCCUAUAAGAAAAUCAAUCAUAAAGACUAAUAUUUUAACAAAACCGUAAAAUAAACAGUACCACUGCCUUAUUUUAUAUAUCACUUUAAAAGUUGUAUUUUGUCUCAAAAUUUGUCACUUUAAACAAUCAAGAAAUUAGCAAUUACUCCUAUCUUUUUUCACAGUAUAUUUAUUUAUUAUUAUUUUACUCAAAUAUCAAAUUAAUGUAGAAUUACUUUCUAAAUUUUUUAAUGAGGUUAUUUUAGUUAAACAGGUAGUAGGGCAUACUCCAUUAUUAAUGCAUCAGGUCCAUUUUUUUUUUGGUAAAUAAAAAGGUCUAUUUUUUUUAAUGCAUUAGGUCUAUUUAAGACUUUGCUAAUAUGUUCAUUCUUAUCUUGAUUUCAAAACGUGCGCGCACGUUCAACGAGAAUACUUCUUUAAUUACUACUUGUUAAUAUGUUAAUUACCAGUAUUUACUUUAUGAUGAUACUCCUCUAUUAUUUAUUAUUUUUUAAUCAAUACCUCUUUUAAGCUUGAACAAGAAACUACUUAUUUUCUUUACAAUUAUAUAUCUAUCCAUAGAGCAUUCAAAAUGAGUUUAAACUUGUGGGUCGAUUGGGAUCAUCACGGGUUUUGAGUCGGGCUGGACCAGAUCCAAAAAGCAAAGUCAAACUAAACCAAAUACUAGUGUCUCUAUUUUAUUUUUGUUCCCUUCGUAUUACAAAUGGUUGCUGCCGGCACGCAAGUUCAUACUUUUAAAGAUGAAAGCUACAACUCGUUGAAAUUUGGAGUUACAGUUGAAAAUAGAAAUGUUGGUUAAAAUAUUAAUGAGAAAUAAUUAAAUUGAUAGAAAAAUAAAGAAAAGAUAAUUUUAGAAUAAUAAUAUAAAUAAUUGAUAAAUUUAAUGUGAUUAAUUAAAUUAAUUAUUUUUUAAAAGAAUAUGAAUUAAUAAUCUCCAUAAAAGUUCAGAAUAAGAAUAGUCACCCCUCUAUCGCUAUAGAAAAAGCAUUGCUAUAGCAUUUGUCAUAUUAAAAUCCUUCUUCCUCGUAUUGUAGUAUUUUCUUUUUCUUGUCUCUUCAAAGUGUAGACACUUGUAUACAAGAAGAAGAAGAGUUCUAAGUAUGAACACGUGCAAAAAUCACGACUGAGGUUUUCUAUUUUCAGAAGUCAUCUACCAUUAUUUAAUGCCAAAAAGUUCAGAAUAGUCACUCCUCUAGCAAUAUAUAAAAAACACCAUUGCUAUAAUAGAACUGUUGUCAUCUUAAAAUCCUUCUUCCUCGUAUACUAUAUAUUGUUGUUCUUGCAUUUAAUUAAAGUGUGAUCAGAUCACACAAAUUAAAUGACAUCAAUUACCUCUGCAUCCCUUCCUUUGCUGCAACUCCAAUCUUCAUUGAAGAGAAAACCCUGCAACUUGAAGAGCUCCACCACCAUGCGUCGUUUUACAACCAAAGCCUCAGCCUCUGAAACGACGUCGGCGGCUGCGCCAGCGCCCGAGCCCAGCAAGCUUCCCAUGCGAAAGAUCCCAGGAGAUUACGGUCUCCCUUUCAUAGGACCCAUCAAAGACCGCCUUGACUUCUUCUACAACCAAGGGCGCGACAAGUUCUUCCAAUCCCGCGCCCAAAAAUACAACUCCACCGUGUUCCGCGCCAACAUGCCCCCCGGCCCCUUCAUCGCCUCCAAUCCAAACGUCAUCGUUUUGCUCGACGCCAAAAGCUUCCCUGUCCUUUUCGACGUCAGCAAAGUCGAAAAGCGUGACGUCUUCACCGGCACCUUCAUGCCCUCCACCCAACUCACCGGCGGUUACCGAAUCCUCUCCUACCUGGACCCCUCCGAACCCAGACACGAACAACUCAAGCGCCUCUUGUUCUUCCUCCUCAAAUCCCGAAGCAGCCACGUCAUCCCCGAGUUUCAUUCAAGCUACACAACCCUCUUUGAAACCCUGGAGAAUGAGCUUGCUAAGGAAGGCAAGGCUAGCUUCCAAACCGCCAACGACCAAGCUGCGUUUAACUUCCUCGCUCGCGCGCUUUAUGGCACCAACCCCUCCGACACAAACCUCGGACGCGACGGCCCAAGCAUAAUCCAAACAUGGCUUUUGUUCCAGCUCGGCCCAAUUAUGACCUUGGGCCUUCCAAAAUUCCUGGAAGAUCCCACUCUUCACACCUUCCGCAUCCCUCCUUUUCUGAUAAAAAAAGAUUACAAGAGACUCUACGAUUUCUUCUACGAGUCCUCCGGGUUCGCGCUUGACGAAGCGGUGCGUUUAGGAGUUCCCAGAGAAGAAGCGUGCCACAACCUUUUAUUCGCCACGUGCUUUAAUUCCUUCGGGGGAAUGAAGAUAUUCUUCCCCACUAUUCUGAAAUGGGUUGGGCGUGCGGGGGUGAAACUUCACGCUAGGUUGGCGGAGGAAGUGAGGGCCGCCGUUAAGUCAAACGGCGGGAAGGUGACGAUGGCGUCGAUGGAGGAAAUGCCGUUGAUGAAGUCGGUGGUUUACGAGGCGUUUCGGAUAGAGCCGCCAGUGCCGCUGCAGUACGGGAGGGCGAAGAAGGAGUUGGUGAUUGAGAGCCACGAGAAUGCGUUCGUGGUGAAGGAAGGGGAGAUGCUGUUCGGGUUUCAGCCGUUUGCGACAAAGGAUCCGAAGAUAUUUGAGAAUGCGGAGGAAUUUGUGGCGGAUCGGUUUGUGGGGGAGGGAGAGAAGUUGCUCAAACACGUGCUUUGGUCCAAUGGGCCUGAGACCGAGGGACCCACCCUUGGGAACAAGCAAUGUGCAGGGAAGGAUUUUGUGGUGUUGUUCUCUCGGCUUCUGGUGGUGGAGUUCUUUCUUCAUUAUGAUUCCUUUGAUGUCCAAGUGGGGAAUUCAUCUUUGGGUUCUUCCCUUACCUUCACCUCCCUCAAGAAAGCAAGCUAUUAGAUAUUAUUAACUUUGCAUGAGCUUUCAAUAUUCAUAUUUUUAAACAUUUUGAUUAAUACUUAUGUAUACUAGUUUCUAUCUUUUUAUCAUGUUAUUGUGUUAUUGUACUUGUAAUGUACAUUUGUUUAGAACUGGGUGUUUCUUAUUUGGUACGAGAGAGAAGAGCAUGGAAAAUAGAGAAUAAGACUUUAGCCAUUUACCCAUUUCCAGACUCAUAUUGACCAUACAUGCCGGGGUUCAACUGUUCAACUUGAAAUUAACUUCUUAUAAAAGUUUGGUUUUCUCUCUAAAUUUGUAUUAGUUUUUUUUUUCUGAAUUUAAAAAAAUUACUACCUCUUGUACUUUUUUAUAAGAAGAUCUAAAUUAAAAGUAUGACUUUUUAUAAGGUUAAAUUUAAAAUAUCUUAUGCAUUAAUUAUUUUUUUUAAUAAAAUUAUAGUUAAUUAAAGGUAGUUACAGAAUGAUGUGAUAGAUUAACAAACCAAUUGGUUGAUUUUAUUUACAAAAGUAUUUUUGAAAAAAAAUUAUAUUAAGUUAGAACGGAUCUGAUGUUCUAAACUAAAUUAAUUUUUUAAUUGUAAUAAAUUAAUUAAUUAGAUCUUAUAAUAAAGAGAACGGUAAUAUUUAAUCCUCAUAAUUUAAAAUAGUCUACUUUUGAUCUUUUAAGGUUAUUUUUCUUUAUCAUUUUCAUCCCCGUGAUUAAAAUUAAAAGUGGACUAUUUCUAAAUUAAAAGUUGAAAAUAAUCACGUUUAGGUAAAAAAAAUACUAGGUUCAAAUUUAGUGAAUAUUUAAUCCUACAAAUUUUCUGACUGGUAUUUGUGCAGCUCGUUUCUCCAUGUUUUGUGCAAUUUUUUUUUUCUAAAACAUAUUUAAUAUGAAAAUAUAAAUAAUACUAGUUCCAGUUUUUUUUUUAUAAGAAAUAAAUUUUAAUGUAAAAUGCACCAGAGGUAAUCUGAAAUAUUGAGUUACGUACGGAUUGCAUGAAUCAUAGCUGGGAAGUUUUUAUUGAAGAUAAAAUUUUAAUCAUGAUUCCACCAUGUAUGCCAAUACAUCUGUGAUUGGUUAAAGCAAUUUUUUCUUUCCUUUCGUAUCUGUUUUCUCGUAGCAAAUCGCAAGGUUCAUUUUUUAUUCACUUUGUGCAUGACCUUUCCUCGUCUUGGAUUCUAGUUGUGAAUGGUGUUAAACAUUAACGUGGUUACUUUCAGAUGUCUGAAGAGACAGCAAGCUUUUAGAUAUUUUUAUCGACUUUAUACGUACUUGUAAGUGUAACGUAGCUUUAUCAUUUUGGUUUUAGUUGGGAAUGGCCAAUCAUUCUGGACAUGGUUUCAUUUUCGUUUGACCCAGAUUAUUAGUACAUUACAUCUUUAUGUUUCAAUUAAAUUAUCUUUUAGAAAGAUAUUACGUUCUUAAUUAUUUGGAUGUUAACAAGACGGAGGAGCCAGUGAACAAAGCGUUGCAUGCCCUCCAUCAAUAUUUAUGUGAUAGCCACCAAUCGGCAUGCAUGGAAGGAGGAAGACCGGUUCAUAGCCUGGUCAUACGAUCCGAUGUUGCUCUUUAUGUAUGCAAGUUGCCCGAGUGGCGCUUAGGCUUCGAAGCAGUGUGAAACUCUAGGGUUUUGAUUUGAUAAAGGUUUCGUUGACGUUUUAAACCCGCAAAAUGGGGCAGAGAGAUUCUUACGUACGUAACAAGUUUUAGCAUGUUUAUAUUUAGGGCCACAUUGUGAGUUUUUUAAUUUUUUAUUUUUAAAAUAAAAUGUAUUUCACAAAGAUACUUUUUAUUUUCUCUAUCUCCCACUGUUAUGAACAACAUUAUCAUCAUCACACAAAAAUAUCUUAAAAUACUUUUAAUAGGAUUUGACAUUUUUAAAAUGAGUACUCUAUUUUAAAACUAAAAAUUAAAGUUAAAGUUUAAAAACUAAAAAUUAAUUAUUAUUUUAAUUUUUUAAAAAACUCAAUUAAAAAUCACUUCAAAUGAGGUCUUAAGUUGUUGUAAAAAAUUCUAUUAAAUCGUACGUCCUUCUCAUCUUCCUUUGUAAAAGGAUUUUUCUAUUUUCAACUUAAUAGAAUUUUUUUAUUGACCCAAUUGGAAGUAUGUUAGUUAUAAAUUAAUAUUGCAAACCCUAAAAAGCAGCUAAAUGAGAGAAUUUUUGUCCAAAUUAUGAUAAGGAGUACUCUAAAUGCCAAUUAAUGCUGGAUAUAUUAAAACAAGUAAUAAAUUGAAUAUAUGAGAACAAAAAUGUGCACUAACAUAGCGUGCUUUUCUUUUAAAGACACUAACACAUUGUUUAGUACUGUAAGACAGAUUUACAUUAUUAGAGAUAAUAAUAAAUUAUGAACAGUGAUUUGUGAUUAGUUACUAAUAUAAAACUUUUUUAUAUUAUGCUAUUAAACUCAUUUAAUAUUAUUUAACUCUAAAAUUCAAGUUAUUAUAAAAAAGUAUUUAAUCGUGCAUACUUAUCGACGUGGAUUUUUGACAAAAAAAACGACGUGAAUUUUAAGAUAUAUAACUCUCACAAAAAGACAAACCCGGAGGUUUGCGUGACUAGCUAGUCCCAGCAUUUAGAUUGGAUAAAAUCAUAUACCUUACUUUUGUAGGAUGCACACAUAUUCUCCCUCAAGCUUAAGGUUAAAUAUCUGAAGAAACAUGAAAAAUGAUAGUGAGGAUCACCCAUUUUACCUGGGUGUACAAGUGACAAUAGCGGAUUGAUGGUGAUGAUCAUACUUGGAGCUUUUUUCUUUGAUUUUCCAAUGGUUUUGGAGUGAGCUUUUUGUGCUUGAAUGGUGGAGUGGAAGUGACUCUAUGUAUGAUAAUAAACUUUCUGAAUUAUAAGAUGUCUGAAAAAUAUUAGGUGCAGUACUAGCUAGUUGAAGGGAAGACCACAAUCCGAUUCAAAAGUUGAAAGUAUAAUUGUUAGGAUGGCCUUCUCAUUUUAACACGAAUGAAAGAUUGUUCUCAUAAUAAAAUUUUGUAAAUCUCUUAUAUAUUUUAAAACUCCAAGCAUAAUAUUUCGUGAAUAAAUAGUUGAGGAGUGUUAAUAAUACACCUCUUUAAAUACAUUCUCUCUAAUUAUUAAAAUGUAUUGAAAAUUAUAAAAUUAGGAGAGUAUAAACAAUGACUAAAGAUAAACAAUAUUUAAAGUAAACAUAUGUUUAUCAUUAAGAUAAAAGCAAUUUCUUCUACUCUUUUUUUUAAAAAAAAUAUUUUCUUCUCAAAAUUUACUUUUACAAUAUUAAUUUUUUCAAAAAACUAAUAUCUUUAACAAAAUUUAAAGAAACUUUACAUCCCAAGCAGGAGGAUCGGAGCAACAUAAUAAUAGUCAAUGUUAGCCAGUACGUUUGGUUAACUUCUGGUACUAUGUUUAGCCCAUCUUCAUCACUACGUCUCCAUUUACUAUUAGUCUUUAAUUUUCAUCAAAUACGAAAUCAUCUGUAUUCAAAGAAGUAGGAUCAUCUAUAAUGGGGGAACUGUUCUAGACUUCUAGUGAAUGAAGUUAGUCACUUAUAAAGUGAAAGAAGAUAUUUAUACUUAUUGUCGAAUAAUAUCUGAAACAUGAUUUUUUUUUCAAGGAAAAGCAUUAUUAUUUUUAAAGAAAGAUACUUGUGACUUGUGAGAGAGAGAAAAUAUAUAAGUGGGGAAUGGAAAAUUGCAGCCGUUAAUUGAACUUUUUCUUUUCCGAUCAUUGAACGGUUUUUAUAUAUUUUUUGUUACAUGACCGGUUUAUAUUUAUUAACUUAUACGUAUAAUUUUUAUUUUAUCAAAGGCUAAACCAUUGGUCACGAUUGAGAUCCCCAGCCAAGGGAUUUUAAUCCGUCAUUCGAUGUACAAUUCAAUUCGAAAACCACGAACAGGAAAAACCUACCUUCUCAAAUUCGUUAACUGCAUAAAGCUUAUUGAACAGGAGUGUGAGUGGGACACAACUUUACACGAUAUGUUGCGCAUUGUCUUCCACUCAUUGGUGUAAUUAGUAGAUCCAAGAGUGUAAAAAAUGGAAAGAGAUGAUGAAGAUAAUUUGGUUAUUUUUUCAUUCAGAAUCAUAGAGACAAUAUAUACACAAAUACAUAUCUCUAAUUAGAUGAUUCUGCUUUUAUAACUCAGCGAUCUAUUCCUACAAUCAAGUCAUUCUAAUAUGACUAACUAUUAUCAUAUUUAAAACAAGAAUCAUGAGAUACAAUUAACUCUCAUAAUAAUAAGAAUCAUAAGAUAUUGACUUUUUUAACACUCCCUCCCAAGUUGGAGAGUGGAUAUCAAGAACUCCCAACUUACGCUUCAUUGUAAGAAAGGAUUCCUUCCCUAGUGGUUUAGUGAACACAUUGACAACUUGUUCUGUUUAAGAAACAUACUCGGUUGCAACUAAACCAUCUUGAAUUUUAUCACGAAUAAAAUGACAAUUUAUCUCUAUAUGUUGAGUUCUUUCAUGAAAUACCGGAUUAGACGCAAUGUGAAGAGCUGCUUUGUUGUCACAAUACAACAGUGCUGCCCUUGAGUGCAAUAUCCCAAAAUCCUUCAACAAUGAACGUAGCCAAGACAACUCACAACAUGCGCCUUUCAUAGCUCUAUAUUUUGCUUCAGCUAAUGAUAAAGAAACUGUCUUUUGUCUUUUUGUUCGCCAAGAAAUUAGAGAGGAUCCCAAAAAAACACAAUACCUAGUAGUUGAUUUUUUGGAUAUUGGACAACCUUCCCAAUUUGAAUCACAAAAAGCACGUAAAGAUAAAUCAUUUUUGGAAGAGAAAAAUAAACCUUGACCUGGAUUGUUCUUUAGAUAUCGCAAUAUUUGCAUAACGGCUUCCAUAUGAGGUUUGCGAGGAGCAUGCAUGAAUCUACUCAAUAUGUGCACUGAGUAGGUGAUAUCCAGAUGAGUAACAGUCAAAUAAAUUAGGUGACCUACAAGUUGCCUAUAUGGGGAUGGAUCUUUCAACAAUUCUCCUUCAUGUGACAAUUUUACAUUUUGCUCCAUGGAAAAAUUCACAGGCUUAGCUCCCAAACAUUCUCCAUCUUUUAGAAUUUCCAAAGCAUGCAUAUUUUCUUUGCGAAAUGAAUAUACCUUUCUUUGACCGAGAACCUCCAUUCCCAAAAGAUACUUCAAGUCACCCAAAUCUUUAAUCUGGAAUUGAUUAUGCAAAAACUUUUUAAGAGCAAUUAUGGCAUUGGGAUCAUUACUAGUUAUGAGGAUGUCAUCAACAUAGAUCAAUAAGGCAGUAAAUAAUUUGCCUUUAUUACAUGUAAACAAUGAAUAAUCUGCUUUUGAUUGAAUAAAUUCAGCACCUUGAAUAGCUGUAGAGAACUUGGCAAACCAUUGGCGAGAGGCUUGUUUUAAUCCAUAUAAGGAUUUAUUGAGGUGACACACAAGGUUCUCCCCCUGUCGCUGAAAACUAGGAGGAAGAGACAUAUAAAGUUCUUCAGAAAGAUCUCCGUGAAGAAAUGCAUUGUGGACAUCAAGUUGAUGAAGUGACCAAUUUUGAGCAGCUACCAAAGCUAAUAAACAACGUAUUGUAACCAUUUUAGCAGUAGGUGAAAAAGUGCCAUGGUAAUCAAUCCCUUCAAGUUGUGUGUAACCUUUUGUUACUAACCAUGCUUUAUAGCAUUCAAGAGAACCAUCUUAUAUGCACUUGAUUUUGUAGACCCAACUACAACCAAUAGCUUGCUUUCCAGGAGGGAGAUGUGUGAGAAACCAAGUAUUAUUGGCCUUUAAAGCAGCCAACUCAGAUUGCAUUGCUAUUUGCCAAUGAGAUUGGGAAGCAACUUGUUCAUAACAUGUAGGUUCAACAUCAUUAGUAAUAGUAGCAAUAAAGGAUCUAUGUUGUGGUGAGUAACAAUCAUAUGAGAUAAAAUUGCAGAGAGGAUAUCAUGUACCUUUACUUGGAAAAGAUGAUGAGAAUGACAAUGAUUCGGGAGAACUUACUUGAUUACAAACAUAAUCAUUCAAGGCUAUAGGGGGGACAUGAGCUCUUUGAGAACGACGCAAAAGGAUUGUUGGAGAAGCAAUAGUGGCAAGGUUAGAUUCUGCAUGUGUUGGCUGGAUGGGUGAGGAAUCUAAGACAACAAUGGGUAGGACAGAAUCUGUUUUAGUUGGGGAAGGAAAAAUGGAUUCGCAGGAAAUAAUAUCCUCGUGGAAAAUAACAUCACGACUAGUGAAGACUUUAUUGGUUUCAAUAUCAUAUAAUUUGUAAGCUUUCUGACCAAUUGGAUAACCAAUAAAAACACAUUUGGUGGCACGAGGAGCAAACUUAUGGGGUACAUGAACAUUUGUAGCAUAAGCUAGACAUCCGAAAACUCUAAGGUGGGAAUAAGAGGGAAUUUUUUUAUAAAAUUUUUCGAAAGGAGUUUGGUGAGAAGGUAUAGGUGUGGACAACCUAUUAAUUAUAUGAACAACAACAGAGAUACAUUCUGCCUAAAAGUGUAAAGGGAGAUGAGAUUGAAAACUAAAAGCUCGAGUUGACUCAAGGAUAUGUUUAUGUUUGCGCUCAACCACCCUAUUUUGAUGAGGUGAGUAAAUGCAAGAAUGUUGAUAAUUAGUGCCCUAUUGGGGAAAAAAAUCUCGCAUAGAGAAAAACUCUCCUCCAUUGUCAACUCGAAUAUUUGUUAUUGUAGUAUUGAAUUUGGUUUUCUCAUAUGAGAAAAAAUUGGUUAGAAAUUUUUGUCUCACUUUUAUGAUGCAUUAGAAAAACCCAAGUAAAACGAGAAAAGUCGUCCAUAAUAGUCAAAAAAUAUUUUGCACCAGAAAGGGGAGGAACUUUGAAAGGCCCCCAAAUAUCACAAUGUAUUAAUUCAAAAGGUUUAUCAGAGGAAAUGGAACUUGUGGAAAAAGGAAGCCUAAUUUGUUUUGCAAGAGCACAAACAGUACAAUCAUUAUUUUGCUUGAAAGGGAAAUGAAGGAGGUUUUUGGCCAUAAAGUCUAAUUGAGAAGAGGAUAAGUGUCUUAGACGUUUAUGUCACAAUAUACUUGAGGUGUUUGAAGUGGAGGCAGCUUUGAUGGUAUUUACUUUGUGUGUCUUAUUCAUCGAAACCAAGUAAUAGAGUCCAUCUAGUUGUUCACCU